This 76273-nucleotide long non-coding RNA is filed under the name Brassica napus (rape). Its description in RNAcentral is "long non-coding RNA (BNAP_LNC001122)". The record is from RNAcentral. Lineage: Eukaryota; Viridiplantae; Streptophyta; Magnoliopsida; Brassicales; Brassicaceae.
UGAAAAAAAACUGUUUUUAACCUGUUCAGCCGGUCAUUUUUCUUGUUUGGAGGUUUUUUAUGAUAAAAAUGUCACUUUGAAGGUUAAAAAUGCUAGUGAAAAAACUUCAAGGUUUGAAGUGUUAGUAAGUGACACUUUCAAUGUUUUUUAUGCGAUUUUCCCGAUUAUUUUACAUAUGUUCGUCCCUAUUAUAUUUUAUUCGAAAAGCUUUUAGGGAAAAAAACACCAUUGAUUUUUUUUGUCAAAUGCACCAACGAUGGAUAAAAGAAGAUAUAGGGCAUGAAUAUGAUAUAUAGUCUUUCAAACCCAAUAUCGAGGGCAACUGAUCUGAAAAUUAGUGUGUUAUAAGUUUCAAUCCUGAAAACUAUAACCUGUUUUUUGAAUUCGUUAUUUGAUUAUAUACCACAUUAUGUAAGAUGAGAAUUUAUUCAUUAUAUAUAUUUCUUAGUCAAAUUUAUUCGUUUUUUUUUUUUUUUUUGUCAAACUCAAACUUGGGAAUGAUAAAUAUGAUUUUUUUUUUUAAACAAGAUAUACUGAAGCAAUGAGAUCAAUCAAACACGAUGGGCAAAUUAUGAACCCACCCACCAUUAUUAAUGAAGUCGAGACUACACAAACGUUGAACGAUGGGAUCACUCGGCUUCUUAACCCAUCUCACACGUUUCCUCGUACUAGAUCCACUUCCAAAGCAUCCAACUUCUGCAUACGUCGUCUGUGAUUCGCGGCCCACUAAGUUCCAUGGGAACAACCACGUUGGUCAAAUUAGUGUUGCAAAAGAUCACUCGAGAGUAAUUCCCCCACGGUCUGCCCAAGUAAGCCUUCCCCGUUCCGUGAACAAGGCUAUCUAUGAACACGAAUCCAUCCGCAUCGUCCGGGAGUGCCCGUGAUUGAGCCGUUAUGUAUCCAGCAUGCUUCCGUUUUAUGGUCUCUCCUAGCAUUUGAAUAUCACAAUUCUUGUAAAUAGAUUGGCCGCUCCCGAAGAUGAAAUCAACGGCGCCUUGGAUAGUGCAACGGUGAAAAAAGUGUCGACCAUUCUUAUCCCACAAGGUAUCUUGAACUCCAGCAAACCCUACCGAGUAAAAAGCACACUUAUCACCUUCGAUCAUCGCCGCCGCCGCUUGAGUGAUAUUUUUCUUCGCUUUCCCGUUAUUAGGUAAAUUAUACAUAUUCACGAAGGUGAGGCUCUUAACGACGGUGUUAUUUGCGGAAGUAGCAAAAGUAGGACUUUGCUCAGUCGUGGCAUGGUCGUCCCAUUCAACCCUAGUUUUACUCGUUCCAGCUCCCAUUAGUACAAUGGAGGGUUUAUCACGUGGUAUCUUUAUUUUCUCCCUAAGGCAUAUAAGAGAAGAAAAAAACGUUACGUACAAAGCAUUUUUGCAUAUAUGUAACUAUACUGACUUGUAAAGGCCGGCUGCAACGUUGAUGAAGAACCAAUUACGAUUGUUGGCUGGAACCGAAUCGAUAGCUUUUUGUAUUGUCGUGAAAUUGCCAUUGCCGGAUUGAUCCACGAACACUUGUUCAGCUUCUAUUAGAUGAGGUAGACAAGAAACAACAAAAAAGAGUGACAAAAGCGAUGAAAAUUCGAUGAGUUGCCAUUAGAGAAUAUAUCAGAACGUAAGAGAUUAAGGGUCUGACUGGUUCAAACGCAGCAGUUGCGGUUGCGGCUGCGGACGUUUGCGGAUGCGGGUGGUUGCGGUUUCUAACGGUUUUAAGAGAUUUGUACGACUGGUUAUGCGGUUAGAAAUUGGUGCGUUUGCGGGAUACUUAUGACUGGUUAACUACCAAAUACAGCAGCGGUUAAAUAAUAAAUUAACAAUAUUUACAUUUUAUAUAAUUAUAAAAAUAUCAAAAAUCAUAAUAUUAUAAUAAAUAUGUAAAUUAUAUUUUCAAAGUUAUAGUUUUAAAUUUUUUAAAUUAUAGAAAAUAUUUUUAUUUUAAAAUUUUAUAAUAUUAAUUAAAAUAUAAUAGAUAUAUUUUAGUAUUUUUAUAAUUCCAUUUUAAAAAUUUUAUUUUUAUUUUUAUUUUUGUAUUUAUAUGGUUUUUUUUAAAAAAAGAAAAAAAAAUUAUCCUCCCGCAACCGCCCGCAACCGCAAACGCUAGCUGGAACCAGCUUUUGAUUUUAAGAGGUUCGGAGCGGUUUGAUGCGAUUUGUAGCGGUUUGUAUGAUUGUUUCGAAACGCUGUCAACCGCUACCAAUCGCAAAAGCUGCGUUUGCGGGUGGUAGCGGGAAAACCAAUCAAGCUCUAAGUGGGACAUGUAUAUAUUCAUUAUAUAGCUAGCUUAUGCGUUUUUAUGGACAACGCGUUAUAUGCUACUUAUGUAACUUUUUUUGGAUCGAUUGGCGAAAAUGAUCGUCUAUGACUCGUUUGAUAGUGACUUGGCAACUAUUGUUUAACAAAUCAUAACGAUCUACUCUUCUCAACUACUUUUUAAGCCAUCCAUGCAGCUCCCAUGGCCGGUACGAAGCACACUUUGUUGUUGAACAAAGAACCACAUGCACCAACCGGAGCAGUUUAUUACAUACAUGGAAGUAUUGUUCUUAGUUGGAACACUAACUAAUUGUCUUCAUAUAUAUGAUAUGGAAAUCUGUCUUUUAUUCACACUGAUAUAUUGGUAAUCAAAUUCAUGUAUUUUAUGUUUCGUUUAUUACAUAUUUUAUAAAUGUCGAACUUAUUCAUGACUGUAUUAAAUUUUGAUAUUAUACACGUACGUACUAAAUUUCUAAAUGAGUGUAUCAAUUAAUUAUUAUUCAAAAAUGUAUUUUUUAGCUAUUUUCCUUAUAUUAACCUAAAUUCAACUACAUUUAUUUCAGUACAUAAAAAAUAGUAAGAUUCAGCUAAUCAAACAAAUAAAACAAAACAUACUACUUAAAAAGUGAAGCACCAAAUUUGUAAAUGAAUCAACGACUAAGAUCACAAUGGAAACAGAAAUAAAAGAAACUGAGUAUGAAUUCAGAUUCAUUAAAAGUAGUAUAAGAUUCAGCUAAUCAAACAAAGAAAACAAAACACAUGACUAGUUAACAAGUGAAGCACCACAUUUGUAAAUUAAUCAACGCCUAAGAUCACUAUGGAAACAUAAAUAAAAGAAAUUGAGUAUGAAUACAGAUUCAUUAAAAGUAGUAUAAGAUUCAGUUAAUUAAACAAAGAAAACUGUGUUAAAAAAACAAUUUAACAAAGAAAACAAAACGCAUAACUAGUUUUAGUAAGAGAAGCACCAACUUUGUAAAUGAAUCGACUACUAUUAUUGAGUUUUUUUAUUUUAAAUUAGUUUUUUAUCAAGUUUUCUAUUUUUUAUUUAUUUUUGAAUUAUUAUUUAAUUUUUAGUAUUUUAUUAGUUAAAGAUGAUUUUUUGAAAAAAAACCGGCACAUCAUCGGUUUUACAUAUACAGCUGGUCAUAUGUUUACUUGAUGAACAAGUAAAUCAGGUUGAAGAGAUUUUGUGAUACAAAUAUCACCCUGAAAGUUAAAAUGGUAUCAAAAAAAUAUCAAGGUUUAAAGUUUCAGUAAGUGUCAUUUUAUGGUUAUAUGUGAUUUCUCAUUCUCCAAACAAAGUAAAAUUCUUAAAAAUUCAUAUUGUACUGAUAUAUGAGAUUUUUUGGAUUUUUUUGAAUUUUUUUUCUGAAUUUUUUUGUUGUCCAGGAAAUUUUGGAUUCAUAUUUGAUAAUGUAUAAAUUUGAUUUUAAAAAAAAAAACUUAAUAAUCUAUCAAAACAAGCAUGACCACAUUACCAAGUUUGAUAAACUCAAAGAUUCUUGUUUCAUUUGAUUGGAGAAAAUGAUUGUCUAUGACUCUCACGUCUGAUCUUCACAUGGCACUUAUUAUUUAACAAAUUAUAAAGAUCCACUCUUAUCAACUACUUUUUAAGCCUUCCAUGCAGUUCCCAUGGCCGAUACAAAGGAAACUUUGUUGUUGGACAAAGAACCAAGCCAACCAGAGCAAUUUAUUACACUCAAGUGUUGUUCUUAGUUGGAACACUAUCCGCGUGACCUUUUUAGGAACAAGAAAAAUGAAUAGGACACAAAUGUAUAGAAAUGAAAUCGUAAAAAUUAAAAGAAACACUUUUUCUUCUCAAAUUUAACCAAUAUUUUUCUACAAAAAAUGAACAAAAAAGAAUAAUAAAAAAAUAAUUCUGCCUAAGUAGUGAUUUUUUUAAGAAUGAUAAGGAAUUCAAUGUUUGUCUUCAUUGGUCACUAUUCAAAACUAAUUGUUCAUAUAAUAUGGAAAAAUAUCCUUUAUCCAUGUUGAUAUAAUGUUAGUCAAAUUCAUAUACUUUAAGUUUAAUUUAUUAUCUAAUAAACAUCAAACUAUUCAUGAAUGAAUGAAUUUUCGAUAUUUUAUACAUGAAUGUAUCAAAUUUAUACAUGAGUGUAUCAGUUAAUUAUGUAUUCAGUUUAAUGUAUUUUAAGAUAAUUUUUGUAUAUUUAGCAGAUUUUCAACUACAUAGAUUUCAGUUUCAUUAAAAGUAUAGUAAGAUUCACUUAAUCAACACAAAGAAAACAAAACACAUGACUAGUUAAUAAGUGAAGCACCAAAUUUGUAAAUGAAUCAACGACGAAGAUCACAAUGGAAACAAAAAUAAAAGAAAUUGACUAUUUAAAUAAAUAACAAUGACUCUGGAAAUAGAUCUCAGACAUUGUUCAUAUAUAUAAACACACGUGAACAACCAAUAUAUGCAAGAAACAAAAAGAACAAGAAAAAAAAACUCUUCUCUUUUCUUCAGACAAUCUAAUACACACAAAUACAGAAGUUUCAUCAUGAACUACUCUCCUAAGACGGUGUUCUUGUUCUUCCUCUCGUGCAUUGUGCUGAUUUUCAACUACGGCCUCGUCACCACCGCAGCAAGUAACGUAGGCUUGAAUUACGGCCUCCUUGGAGACAAUCUCCCACCUCCAUCAAAUGUUAUCAACCUCUACAAGUCCAUUGGCAUUACCAAAGUCCGUAUCUUCGACCCAAAUACCGAGGUUCUUAAUGCCUUACGCGGUCACCGCGAUAUCAAAGUCACCGUAGGCGUUAGAGACCAAGACUUGGCUCCUCUUGCAGCCAGCGAGGACGCUGUUAAAGCCUGGUUCGCGACCAACAUCGAGCCUUAUUUAUCCGACGUCAACAUCGCUUUCAUUACCGUUGGUAACGAAGUCAUCCCUGGACCGAUCGGUCCUCAGGUUCUUCCCGUCAUGACGUCUCUCACCAACCUCGUCAAGUCUAGGAAUCAUCCGAUCUCCAUAAGCACUGUUGUGUCCAUGGCAAACCUCGGACAGUCCUACCCGCCUUCCGCGGGAAUGUUCACGUCCCAGGCACGUGAACAACUCACCCCGGUGCUGAAGUUUCUGUCUCAAACGAGUACGCCGAUCCUCGUCAACAUCUACCCUUACUUCCCUUACGCAACCGACCCGGUGAACAUUCACCUCGACUACGCCAUUUCCAAGAGCAAGGCCGUCGUGGUACAAGACGGACCACUGGGAUAUUCAAACAUGUUUGAUGCAAUGUUCGACGCAUUCUUGUGGGCAAUGGAGAAGGAAGGAGUGAAGGGUUUACCAAUGGUGGUGUCUGAGACGGGAUGGCCGUCCGCGGGCAACGGAGACAUGACCACGCCGCUUAUUGCAGCUACCUAUAAUGGAAACUUUGUGAAACAUGUAGAUAGCGGCAAAGGGACACCAAAGAGGCCUAACAGCCGUGUCGACGGGUUUUUAUUUGCAACGUUCAAUGAGAACCAGAAGCCGCCAGGGACUGAACAGAACUUCGGAUUGUACAAUCCUGUUGAUAUGAAACCUAUCUAUAAGCUGUUUUGAGUGUGAAAGUUUCUAUGACUUUCCUGUUUUUUUUUACUAAUAAUAAUGCUCUAGUUGUUUUUUUGCUUAAUUAAAGUAAAGAUUAACAACAAUAUAUACCGCAUGUAAUAAUAAUAAACUAUUGGUUUCAAUGAGAUGAUGAAAUCUCUUAACAAAACAUAUAUAGUUUGGCUUUGGAAUCUUUUUUUUUCUUCUGAUUAUUAGUACAAGAGAAAUGCUCUUUUAUGUUUUUCUGAUUUAUUUAUUUUACUAAUUAAUCUCCAUCUUUCCUCUAAUUAGUUUUUUUGGGUAAUUCUCUCAAAUAACAUUUUUAAGUUUUUGUCACAAAAUAUCUUUAAAAAAUAUUUAAAAUAGCUCAUUUUUGUUUUAAAUUUUUGAUUUUGAUUUUUUUAUUUUUUUUUUAAAUUGAAACUAUGUUUCCAAAAUCCCAUUCUUUAAUUCUAAACUCUAAGUUUAGAAUUAGUUAAUACUAAGGUAAAAAUACACUUCAAAAAUUGUAUUUACUUUUUAAUAAAAUUUAUUUUGGUCAUUUUCUCACAGAAUUCUAUUUUUACGACAAAAAAAAAAUGCUGAAUUUCUCUUUUUUUUUUUCUUUUCAUAAAACUUAUUUUUGCAUUGAUUCGUUGAUAUUCGACUGAUUAAUUACCACCAACCCGUCUGGUAAUAAAAUGCCACAAAAAUGAUGAUGAUGUAACGGUUUACAACGGUUUAAAAUACAACGAACGGUGAGAUUCGAGUGGUCUGACUCAGACCGGUCUAUCGAUUUGGAUUCAUCUCCAAUCAUUUCUUCUUCCCUCUGAUCCCACGGAAAAACCCUAACACCCAAUCCUCUGAUCAGAGAGAGAGAGUAAUCGUCAAAGUCAACCCAAGGGAUUCGAAUCAUCAUCGCCACACUCGCACACACACAAUCUUCGAAUCUUAGAAAUAGAAAAUGUCGUCGGAGAUUGAGGUGGUGGAAGAAGUCGAAUCGAAUAAUGUCGAAUCGAGUUCAAAGCCGGUUGAAGAGGAGAGCUUGAAGAACGAUGUGUACACUGCAUCGGCUUACGGCGAUUUGGAGAAGCUUCAUAGAUUGGUGGAGUGUGAGGGUUGCUCUGUCUCUGAGCCCGAUGGGCUUGGCUACUAUGCUCUUCAGUGGUCUGCGUUGAACAAUCGUAGUGCUGUUGCUCAGUACAUUAUCGAGGUGGUUGCGAAAGUUCAAUCCUUUAUGUGGUUGUGGAGAGUUUUUUUUUAUAAUUGAUUUGGUUGUCUUGAUUUGGGGGUUUGACAGCACGGUGGAGAUAUUAACGCGACGGAUCAUACGGGACAGACUGCAUUGCAUUGGAGUGCUGUUCGUGGUGCGGUGCAAGUUGCUGAACUCUUGCUGCAAGAGGGUGCAAGGGUUGAUGUAACGGAUAUGUAUGGAUAUCAGGUUUAACUCUACUUACUUUAUUAUGGAGAUUGUUUUGUUUCGUUGCUAGUAAGCUGCUCUUUUGCAUGUUGCUUGAGGUUGGCACUCAGGUUUUGUAACUAGUAUUGGUUGUCAUAUUGUGGUUGCAUUUUUCUAGUGUGUUGUGAGGCUCAUGUAGUUAACUUAGCACUUCGUACUUUUCCACUCGUUUUGCUUAGGAAGAUGUGUUCAAUCAACGUUAUGCAUAUGGCUUGAUCUAACUCCAUACCUUAACCUUGGGGAAUUAAUUUACUUUGUCUUGGAACGAUAUUGAGCAGUCUCAUGACCCAUUAUUCAAAGUUUUCUCAAAAAUAGUGAGAACUUUCAUUUUACCUGGAUUCAGUCAGGUUUUAGAAAUUUCAUAGUGAUGUCGAAUUCACUUAGAAAUCUCAGGAGAGAUUGCCCCUGCCGUUGGUUUAGGUGGUUGAAAAGUUUAGGUCUUCUUAUUCUCGGAAUUUAUUAGUAAAGCUGGAAUUCAAGUUUUACGCUGGAUGCUAUCAAAUUUCCAUUCUCUUGUUUAGUUCUCGAUGGAUGCAUAUUCAGCUUAAACUUUUUGUAGCCAACACAUGUUGCGGCACAGUAUGGCCAGACUGCUUUUCUCUGCCACGUCGUCUCAAAGUGGAAUGCUGAUCCUGAUGUCCCCGAUAAUGACGGAAGAAGCCCCUUGCACUGGUAAGGUUGCCGGGUUGAUUCGUUGAUGGUUUUUGGCUUCUUUUCAUAUUUACACUCCUAAUGCUUAGGUUCGCAUGCUCAUUUUGGAGACUGGAUAAUUGUACUUUUUUUGUUUCCUUAGCAUGUUGUUCCUCUAGGCUGUUAUAGUUGUCAAACAAUGUUUUUGCUGGCUGCCUGGCUCUCGAGUUCUCUUGUUAUAAAGAUCUGUGAAAUAUGUAUUUCUGUUUCGAUCGAGAAACUAAAACUUUAUGGGUUAAUUUGUUCUCGUAGUUAUUCUGAGAAUUCUUUACUGUUGCAUCAUGCAUGCAUUAUUCUGCUGCAUGGUUUCAAGCUUGCUUAUGCUGACACCUCCAAAUUUUAUCGCUAAUUUUCAGUAACUAUCCAGGAGAGUUCUAAUUAUCGUUCUUUUCUUCUCGUGUUUUGAGAAAUUCAGGGCUGCAUAUAAAGGCUUUGCAGAUUCCAUUCGUCUUCUUUUAUUUUUGGACGCAUAUAGAGGACGGCAGGACAAAGAAGGUGGUUUUCAAACAUCUUUCUUUGUCCUCUUUAUUUAUAUAGUUAGAUUAGAAAACCAAAAACAUAUCAUCUUUUCUCCAUUCCAUCGACUCUGUUAUCAGGUUGCACUCCUUUGCAUUGGGCUGCCAUUCGAGGUAAUUUGGAAGCUUGCACUGUAUUGGUUCAGGCUGGGAAGAAAGAGGAUUUGAUUAUUACUGACAAUACCGGGCUUACCCCCGCACAACUUGCUGCUGAAAAGAAUCACCGACAAGUUUCGUUUUUCCUUGUAGGUGACAAUACUGACACUUUUUUUUAGCUAUACUGUCUAUUUGAUGCUCUUAGUGGCUGCUACUUAUAGCUAUAUAUUGUACUUGAAUCAUUCUAUUGGCCUUAUGUUGUUGUGUUGUGCAUCUCACUAGACCUUUUCAUACCUGGAAACAAAUUACUGUUUUGUAGCUGCUCCAUGUCAGUUUCUUCAAACCUGCAGUUUUUUAUAAUCAAAAUGAUAACAUCAUGAUUGGAAUACUGAGAAACUUAUUUCAAAUAUUUUUGUCUUAAUAUUUGUCUGAUAAACACUUCAUUGCAGGGCAAUGCUAGAAGGCUGCUUGAAAAGCGGUGUGACGGAAGCACCCCCCUCGGAAAAUUGUCAAAGUUGGGACUUGCUCCAGUUCUUUGGUUCAUGAUCCUGCUGCUUCUUCUCAUAUAUACUAAUUCUGUUAUUUUGGGUUGUUACCUUGGCCUUCUUGGAUCUCUUUUGUUGCAACAUAUCAAGUAACUGUUCUAUGCAUGCCUACUUAUUAUUUUAUGAACCUUUUUUUCACUGCAGCAUCCAAUCUGCCAAAGCUAACAACUGGGAUUGGUUCGAUUGCGUGGCUGGGAUUCUUCCUUGCAACAGCAGGGCUAGCCUUGUUUUACCGCUGUAGCAAGUAUAUUCUCACCCUAUCUUGCUUCAAUUUCUUUUGAAGGCUUUACUUCCCUGCAGUGCGAAUUUCUUGUUUUCCUGUGUAGUAGUAGUUCGAAAAUACCUUUGUAUCUCAAGAAGUGGUUUUCUUGUCGUUUUUAAUAUAAAUCUUUUGUUUAUUACAGAAAGGAUCCAGGUUACAUCAGAAUGAACAGACAUGAUCCGCAGACCAUGAAAGACGAUGUUGGUACCUUUAACUUUAUUGGCUCUCUUGUUUGAUUGACAUAAUUGUCCACAUCUUACUCGAGUACUAUGUUUCUGUUCAAGCGCCAUCAUAAAUUUGCUUGCCCCUUUACAGGAACCACUGUUGAAAAUAGAGCUAAACAACCCUGCUUUGCUUUCUGGGAAUUGGACGCAGCUGUGUGCAACGUGCAAGGUACUUCCUCAGCAUCCCCUUUAUGUCUUUCUUGAAUAUUAACGCUAAAUAUCAAAUAGGUUAUGCACAACACGGAACGUAAUUCUUAGCGUGUACUUUGUUUCUCUUUGUUCAGAUAAUCAGACCUCUUCGAGCUAAGCACUGUUCCACCUGUGAUCGUUGCGUAGAGCAAUUUGACCACCAUUGUCCUUGGGUUUCAAACUGUGUCGGAAAAGUAAGUACAUAUUUCAACCCCCAUUUCAGUUGCUGAAAAAUAUAAAGUGACAAAAUAGGAUAGGACAGAUCAGGCUUUCGAUACUAACUUUCAAUAACUAAAUCUGCCUUAUUUUAUCUCGUUUCAUUUGAUUUGACCAGGCUUCAAUGCCUUAGAAAUCAAAAGAGAUGUUUCUUGGUAUCGCAUUACCUCUUCUAUUUAUUUUGCUUGCUAGUGGUUUUGAUCUAUUAGUUUUGCAGCUCGAGGGUGAUACUAAUCCGUGGAUCGAUUUGUUUUUCACUUAUCACUCUUGCAGAAAAACAAGUGGGACUUUUUUCUUUUUCUUCUACUUGAAGUUCUAGCGAUGCUGAUAACUGGUGGCGUCACUCUUGCAAGUAUGUUUGUAACAGAAGAUUCCCUUUAAAGCUUAUCCUGAAAUUUAAACCCUGGAGAAAACUUUCAGACAGAAAUGUAAACGAUGUGUUAUACACAUGCAGGAGUCUUGAGUGACCCUUCAGCUCCAUCUUCGUUUGGAGCAUUGUUGAGCCAUGUCGCUAGUAAUCACGUUGGUGCAUUAUCCUUUCUGGUUAUUGAGUUCUGCCUCUUCUUUUCAGUUACCGUCUUAACAGUCGUACAAGCGUCUCAGGUUUGUCCACACGCUUUCUUUUAUUUUUCUUCACGUGUUUGUUCCUCUUAUGAUCUAAAUGGUACAGAGACUAUUCUUGUCUACUUCUCUUCCCUGUAUUAAUGAUCUCUACAUUAGCUCCAGUGGAGCUAGAACUCGCUAAGUAGAGUAGAGAACAUCAUCUGUCUCUUUUUUUCCUUUACAGAUAUCGAGAAAUAUAACCACGAACGAAAUGGCUAAUGCGCUGCGCUACAGCUACCUAAGAGGUCCUGCAGGUCGCUUCAGGAAUCCUUACGAUCACGGUUGCAGAAGAAACUGCUCGGACUUCUUGGUGAAAGGUUAUAACGAAGAUAUUGAGUGUCAUGAAGAAGACACAACACCGAGACAAGAGGGUAUAAGCAUGAUGCAGAUGCAGCGGAGUUCUAAUCUUCAGAAUGGCAAUGGCCACGUUGCUAUCGAUGUUAGCCCGGUACAUAAUUCGCAGUCAGCACAUGUUCAUUCUUCAAACUGCAGCCAUAGCCACAGCAGUAAGUCAAAAAGUGAUAGUGUUCCUUUAGGUUUGGGACUUGGUCUUGGCCGGAACCCAACCCGACCUGUUGUACCUCCAUGAUAUGGUCGUCUUCCAACUGUGCAUUUGUGUUGUAAGAAACACGUGUCCUCUUGUCUGAGUCAUUAUAACAUCCCAUUUCUAGUGAAGAUAGUUGUUUAGCAGAAAAGGUUGUACGUUAUGUUUUCUAAGUUGAGGUAUGAAAGUUUGAACCACAAGUAUCAAUCAUUGCUUUUUCAAAUCAUAACCAAAUGUAUAUUAAUCGUCACAAACACAGCAUUACUAUACAUGUAACAACGAACUACAAAGGGGAAAAGAAAGACUGCUGUUGUGUAUAUGAUGAUGAUUAACAUGAGAGGUAACGUUGCAAACAACUUGGUAGACAAUGUGUGAGUGUGACCUAAUAGGCUAAUACUGCGUCGUUAACGACGUUGAUAGUGUUUAGGCAAAGUUGUAUUCAGGGGCGAAGCCAGGUUACCCACUAUGGGGGCCUGUGCACCCGUAAUAUUAAGUGAUAAUGUAAUUUUCGUGUAUAGAAACAAUAAAUUUCAGCUAGAACAGAUGGAAAAAUGUUGGUGUGCACCCAUAACAACCAAGGUUCAAUUCUACCUUUUGACAUGUUUCUAUUUUAUUAUAAAGAGUGCACCCAGUCAUUAUACAUCCUGGAUUCGCCCCUGGUUGUAUUACAUUUCCAUUUGCAAGUUAAUGGUUAAUCUACUACAAGAUAGAAGCUUGUUUGUUCUGUAAUAAAAUGCGAAGGUCAUGCCAUGAAAAUCCAGUUGGACAUUGCCCACAUUUUAUAGAUUACAGUACGCCUAUCAUGAUUCAUGAAUAUACUACCAAAGAUAGAAUCUAUAUACUGUACUUUUGUCAAGUCUCAAAUUACAACAAAGCUACAAAAUCUUAUCAUUAACUACGUCUACGUGUAUGUGACAACGAAACGAUUCUCAAGAAGAAAUAUCUAAUUAAUUAUAGAAAAAAACUCGACAAGAUCCUUGAUUCUCAGUAUCUCUUCUUUCCUUUUGUGUCUUAUACAUGGGGUGUUCAACAAAAGUUGAAUCAUCAUUUAAUGACUGCAUGUACUUAGUGUAUCUCUCAUUGUAUAAAUAAAAAAAAUGGAAACUUCAUCGUCAGACUGACUCAGACAUACCAAAAGUGAAAACGUAAAGCUUAGCGAACGUAGAUGAUCAGAGUUUAAAUGACUCAGAUCAACAAAGUUUCUAAUGAAAAAAAUUAAGAAACCAAAUCAAGAACACGUCCUAGUGAUGUCAUCAUCAUGUACAUUGCACACAAACUUCGAUACACCGCGCCAAGGAACACCAAAACAUAGUUCCUUCACACGCAAGAAACAAAUUAAAAAAAAAAACCUAGAUUAUUACUAUUUAUUCUAAUCCUUCGGAUCUUUAUGCAUCCCAUAGAAUCGGCUAAGCCGUGGCCUGAACUCAAAACGACGACGGAUAAGUAGAGACGACGGUUUAACAAUACUCUCCGUCAGAUACUUCCUAAACCGCUCCGCCUCCACGCUCCCGAUCCUCGCCAGCGAAUUCGCCAGAGCCAAUUUUCUCAGAUACAUCCCCGAAUCACCACUCUUCGACUUGUUCGACAAAGCUUUGAUCUUCUCGCUCUCCAAUCGGCGGUGAAAGCCGCAGCGGAACGAUCCGGGGUGCGUCGUCGGAGAGCACGAGCACUUCCGAACGGCGGAGGAGGAGGGAGGGCUGUUUCCGAGGGAGAACCUCUUUAAACGGAGGUUGAUGUUGUUGCAUGGAGACGCCGAUCUUUGAUGACGGUGGGAUGAAGAGUGAGGGUAUAGAACUGACGAGCCGUUUGAUCUUCUUCCAGUAGCCGCCAUGACUUGCUGUUAGAGAGAGAAAGUUGAAGAAACUGUUUAGAGAGAGAGAGAGAGAUGCGUUUGUGUGUUUGUGUGUUAAUUAAUCCGUUUCUGUUGAAAGAUUCACCGAUUCCGUUUGAUUCGCGUCCCUCUAUUUAUGGCGGUUACGCGUGGUCAUUAUUGUAAUUUUAAUUACUAAUUUAAUCAAACCGGACUUACGUACCGGAUUGGAUUAGGAGAAACCGGAGUCAAAAACCGUAGUACUUUCUCUAAUAGUAUUUGAAUUCGUCUUACUACUCUGAACCAGAGAUGAAAUUGAAUUUUUUUCUAAUCCGGAAAAGUUUAAUUCAUAUUUCGAAUUGUUUUGCUCAGGAGAAAUUUUCGCGAUUUGGCUAAUUCACCCUAUCUUUUAAAGAUAUUCGGAUAAUCUUUUGAGAAAAUGAAACUGUGUAACUUUAUCUUCAUAGACCGACUUACUUGUUAUUGUUAUAGUUAUCUUGUUACAAAAAAAAACAUACAAUACAUUUGAAAUUUCUAAAAGGGUGAUGACAACCGGUUAAACCGGGGCAAAUUGAACCAAAAAAAUUCCCUUACCCAACUUAAACCAGAAUGCCUGCACUAUAGCCAGAACACGCGCAAUACCAUAAACACUGAGCUAGUGAACAAAACACACUGCUCUCUUUUACCAUUUCUUUCACCUAUACAUAACCAAAGUCUAUAUAUUUGCUUUCUUUUGCUCAAGAAUGAAGAAGAAACCAAAACUCUCACUAUGAGUCAUGAUCCUUACUAAACUUCUGAGGCUUACUACUUGCAAACGCCAACCAUACAACCGUCCCCGUCAAGUAGAAGAAUAUUGAUGGCGCAAAUAGAGACAUCUACCCACAACAAAAUCAACAAUUAGUUUUAAGUAAUGAACAUCAUGAUUUGAGGUAAAGUUAGCAAACUUACAGUCCAUGAAUGGGUCGAGUCGAGGAGAAAACCAGUUAAAGCCACACCUACGAUUCCAGGUACUGCCCCUACUGUAUUGGUAAUGCCCUAAUAAAGACACCCAUAACAAGUUUAGCAAGAAACUAUAUCUUCACACUUAAACUAUAGUUUCAUAACUCAUUGGCGUCACGCUUGGACUAAUGUUUGGUUCAUCAUAAUUAAAAGUAAGAAGAGCUUUAGAAGGCAUCAUAUGGUCUAAAAGUAUGAGAAACGACAUGUACCAGGAGUAUGCUUGCAUAUUCGGGUGAGAUGUCCUGAUGAGUACAAUAAAGUCCUGUAAAAAGGAAUCAUGAUGUUGUUACUUGAAAAAUCAUGAUGGAAAAUUAAAUAAAAGAUCUACUGUUACCUGAUAAAGCAAAACUUGAUAAGGCCAAGCCUGCUGUCAAGAUUCCGGCAAUUUCCCAAGGUGGCAAUCCAAUGUCCACAGAUGAAAGUGUCAUGCAGAUCGCUGGUGCCACGAACGCAAUCGUUUGACAUAUCUUUCGAACCUACAUGAAAAGUUCCCCAACGAGUUCACAUAUUAAUAAGACCCUUUUGAUUUUUUAAAAAGGGUUUGUACACAAGGAGAAGGAAUGUGAAUUUUAUACCGUGGUGGUCUCAACUCCAUUUGAGAUUAAGUAGUCAGCGAAUUGAGAAGCAAGACUUGUCACGAAGAUUGAAGCUAAUGGAGGAAGGAUGGAAACCUGAUCUUCACAUCCACAUAUUAAAAUCCCAAAAUGUUAUACCUUUUUAAAAUAUAUCUCCAAGCAUUUUUUUUGUUAAAUGCAAAGGAUAACACAGAUAGUUCUAAACUUACCCAAGCAGCGUCUCUCAAAUUUAAACUCAGCGCCUCACUGCAUACCAAAAAUAUGAUCAAAAUUACUUUCUUCAUCAAUAUGAUGGAGAGCAAAAGAUGAGUAAUGAAACCGCAAUUUACCUGAAAUAAGUUGGUAGCCAAGAUAAACAGGUAUAGUGACCCCAACUUCCACAAAAGUGAGUGUAUAUCAUUGCCCAAACAGCUGAGCUUUUGAAAAACGACUUCCAUGGAAUCUCCUGUUGUAAUAACCAGGAGAAAAAAGUGAAGCAUUGACUUAAACCAAACGAAAAGGUUUUGAGUUUUCAAAACCAUUUGCUUAUAGUUUUAGGACAGUCAUUGAUUAAGGUUAUGCAGUUCUCUUGUUAUAGUUUGUUUUUCUCCAACUAAAUAUUGACCUCGGAAACAAUAGGAUUGACAGAGAGACUUAUUGCUAAAUUCAACAUUAGAUAUUAGACUAACCUUCAAUGAGUUUCCCAGUUCUUCCCGUGUAGUAUUUUCGGGUUUAUGCGAAGUAGUGGUCUCAUCACCUAUCAAACGAAAAGCAAUCCUGAUUGUAAAUAAUGUUCAAGUCCAUGAUCCAAACCAUUAACUGAGUGAAGUCUUAAUUAUAAUACUCUGACAAUAUAAGUCAUAAAAAACUAAGUAAAUGAAUGUGUAAUACAUCCAACUAUGUGACAUCUACGUUCCUUGAUUAUAUCCAUAUUCAAAACAAGAAAGAAAGAUAUGACUUCGAUGACAAAUAGUCAAAGUUAAAUAAACUUUGGAUAAGGAAAAGGAAGGAGAGAGCACCUCUAUGUGAAACUUCUUCUUCACCAAGAAAUUGAAAUCCGAUGAACCUUCAACAUAUAGGGGGUAAAAACUCAGAAUACAGGAAUACUAAACUAACAUGUCAGCAUCUUAUUUGAUGUAGACAAAAUAGAGAAGAUUUAUCCAAAACAUCAGACAACGAUGUUGUGCAAGUGUUUACUUUAGCCAGUAGUCGAUGAGACUUACCAGCCAAUACCAAGGAGCCCAAACAGGUAAAAGACAGAUUCCCAAUUAAAGGUUUGGAUAAUGGGAGGAGCCAAGAGAAGCCUGCAGACAGAAAGGUAAUCAUGUUAGGUCUGUAUUAGUCUCAAAACUGAGCAUUUUUCUUUGUCACUGACUCACUGUCAACCAAUCUAACCUUGGUUAGAAUUUUAACCAAAGAAAAGAAUGAACAAAUAAAACCACAUAUUUGUAACUUUCAUAGUUAUAAUAAUCACAUCAAGAUAGGAACAUACCCCAAAACACUUCCCAAACUCAAUCCUCCAAAAACAAAGCCUACGGCCCUUGAGCGCUCCCCAACAGGUAUCGUCCUGUACUCAGAAGUUGAAUGCCACAAUUAGGAUAUGAAAAAACAUAAAGGCUGCAUAAGCAGUUAAACGACAUCAUCUAUGUUCAAGUAUGAGCACUCAACGCUCCAGAUUGGGUACAUGCCUGGCAAUAAGGUCAGUUGCAGCGGACGGGGAAACACCUUCUCCUAUUCCCACCUGGAGUUACAAAUCUCUGUGUUAAAGACAAAGACAUAAUGUAAGGCUAACUAAAGCAGGGUGUGCGGCAGAGAGAAGGCUUAAACUUAACAAAAGAGUCAUUUACAUGGGAUUCUUUAUCUUUUUAACAAACUAAGGAAUAUGUAACAAGACAUGAUUGCAUGAAUCAGCAUAAAACAACAUAGACAUAUGGACCUUACCAAAAUUCGAGAAAAGAUCAACCCGGGCAUAAACCCAGCAAGUAGUGGAACAAGAGCUGUAGCGAAAGACCAUGUAAACACACCAAUCUCCAGAACUUUUCUGCAUUAGAGAAAAUGAAAGACAUUUGAAUACAAGGGAGGAUAAAGCAAGACCAGCCCUGAGGAAGAGUUUAGAAACAAAAAAAAAGAAGACAAACCUGCCGCCAAAAAUCUUGGAAAGCCAACCACCAGGCAACUGGCUCAAGGCAUAACCCCAAAAGAAAGAUGACUGGACCAAGCCCGCCACAGAUGAGCUCCAUCCAAACUGGUGUGACAUUGGUAUUAUAGCUAUACUCAAGUUCACCUGCCAUUCUCACCACACAACAUCUACUUUAGUCACAUGAACCUGAUCCUUAAUAUCUUAUGCAAACUUACCUAAAACCAUAAAAAUGAAAACUUUAUUCAAAAUUGAAGCCUAAUAAGAACACAAUAUCUACUUAGUCAAAUAAGCAGAUGCUAAAUUAAACUCAAAUUCACAUGAACACAAUCCUCAAUAUCUUAUGCAAAGCAUAAAAAUGAAAACUUUGUUCAAAAUUGAAAUGUCUAAGAACACAACAUCUACUUAGUCAAUGAAUGCUAAAUUAAACUCAAAUUCACAUGAACAUAAUCCUCAUAUCUUAAGCAAACUACGUAAACCAUUUAAAAAUGAAAACUUUAUUCAAAUUAUUAUAAGCCAAGAAGACACCUUGUCCAUGUUGCAGAUGACAAAGGCGAGGGAAGUGGCGCCGAUGAGCUUAUAUCUCUCUGGUAUAUUCUUCCAUGGAGGCCAGUUCUGUUCUACACCCGUUUCUGUACUCAGAGCUUUGGAAUCAGAGGCAGGGUUAGGAAGGUCUUCUUUGAUAGGGCUCUUGGGAAGCUUCUUGCUCUCUCUGACACGUUCUGUGCCACUGGCGGAGCACUUGACCCUUGAUUUGAGGUGAGGAAAGGAGGGAGGGGUGAUGGUGUAGAGGGAGAGGGAGAGGAAAGGAUGGUUGUGUGUUUGGAGAGGAGUGGAGAAGAGACGAUUGUUUGGUCUCAAGGAAAGUCUCGCCAUUGUUGAUGGAUGGUGUCAGAGAGAGAGAGAGGAGGAAGAAGCGAAUAAAAGUGAAAUUGAGAAAUGAAGAAGAGGGAGAGAGGAGGACACGGUGGAGCAGUAGAAAAGCUUGUGUGGCUCACCCUGGAGAGUCUCCAAUUGUGGGUCCCGCUUCGGUAUCAAAAUCUUGCCUUUGCGUGCGUCACUCUACUUUGAAUAAUAGAAUAGAACAACAAAGUUAAGAUCUUUAUUUAGUCUUCUGGUCUUCUUAUUACAUAACCUCUCACUACUACCUGAAGAUCAAUGAAACUUUACAGUUCUGGCUUGUAGUCCCAAUUGGAUUCAGGUUAAAGUCCACACCUUUCAGUUUCACCAUCUUGUUCAUUGACUCUGGGUGAAUAUUUGACAAUUGAUUUCUUCAGAGAUACUUUAAAUUGAAUACACAGUGAAGCAACAAGCAGUGGAUUAAAAGAAGUUUUGUAAGACCAUGUCUAGAUCGUUCGAAUUGGAAGAUACUGUAUUUCUAGAGAUGCAUGGAGAGAAUGCUAGGUUGGGUACAAGGUUUGGCGUUCGGAUUCGGAUCGAAUAAUUUGGGUUUUGGUUUUAAUUUGUAUUACAUCUUAAGUCAAAUUCUAGUAAAUUUGUAAAUACGAGAUAUGAUCUAUAACACAUCAGUUUGGUUUUAAAUUGUAUCAUAUCCUAAAAACCCAUAAAUUAAUCAUAUAUUAUUUAAAUUUGGAUUAUCCAAAGUAAAAUAAAAAAUAAAACAUAUGGAAAUAAAAUUAAAUAAAAUAAAGAUUAAUCCAACACACAUCAAACUUUAAAACAACAACAAAGUGUUAAAUCCAGUAUGAAAAUAAACAUCAUUUGUAAACAAUAUGCAUUAUCUUAUUGAUAGAAUAGAUUUGUUAUUUAACAAGCAAAUUAAGAAAUAUUUUUUAUAAGUAAUUGAGUAUUUAUUUAAGUUUUAAUACUUAUUUUUAUAUAUCAUAUCAAAAUAAAUAUUAAAUUGAGUAUUUGUAUAUGUUUCAAGAAUUUAUAUUCACUAUUAAUUUCAGAUUUUUUGGGUUAUACGUUGGGGUUCGGAAGUGUUUUGUAACAUCUACAAAAUCUAUUCAUAUAUUUUUACAUUUCGGAUCGGAUAACAGAUCAAAUUCCAUGUCCUAGGCCGGAUAAGGUUACUGGGGCAUCAUGAUCAGUUUUGGGCACAACCGGAUGAAACCUUGAAAAUAACUAUUACACAUAAGUCUCGUAAUCUGCAAAUUGUCUAAAGAAAAAUUGAUAUUUUUCAUAAAUUGUUUAUGGCAUGUUAAAUCUCAAGACCCUACCACAACCUGAUGGCUCUGCUUUCACUCUUCUCUUACACGACAGAGAUGUCGAGAGGUUCAGUUCCUGAAAGAUAGAGAGUGGUAUAAAGCUCCAAUAGCCCAUGAUACAAGUCCGAUCAAUGUAGGAGAUCUGAUGGAGGUAAUAAAUCAUGUAUACAUGCUUAUAAAUUUGAAAUAUUUAUUGGUUGGAUUUACAGGAGUUCUGUCCACAGAAUGGUGACGAACAGAGAACAGGCGGUGAACAUCAACAUGUGCCAACAUUUUGUGUUCCGAGUCCAGACAAAGAGAUUCAGCAUGUAGAGGGGCUGGUGUCUGAGACACGACCAAGAUCGUAUACUUUCCUUACUUCACAAACUAAAACAGAAUUAUACCGUUUUUUUCGUUACUUGAUUUGUAAUAUACAGUAGUACUUUUUAUUUUCUUACUUGAAUAAAAAUACUAGCUUAAUUCCAGCUUGGAUAUUCGAAUCUUUCAAAUCGCACAUUCCAAAAAAAGACAAUGAUUCGACGGUUAUAAGAUGUCACCAUUCAACAACCACUCCUCUGUCUUUAUUCCAGCUUUCUCUCCUACACAUCAAUCAAUAGUUCUCUCUUUCUCUCUGUCUCUCUCCUCGGAAAACUCCCCUUCUCAGGUGCUGAACCGCCGUGAGAAGGAGACAACUCACAAGAAAGUUUCCAUUUUGUUUCUCCUAAAGAGCUCAGAGACUUAUCUCGUAAAUGACGACGACAACGGUUAUGUCCAUAGCAGAGAAAGUGCUGGAACGAAUCUACGGAAGCUCCAAGUCUACCCUUUCCGUAGCAGACGGUGAAAAGGCUCAGCGUCAUACCCAUCACCACGUUCACAAGCAUUCCUACGACGACAGCGAGGAUGAUAUUUGUUACAGCGACGAGGAUGAAUCCGCAAUGGAGCUCGUCCAGCUCGGUGCGGAGAGGACCAAGAACAUCUUGAUCCUCAUGAGUGACACUGGAGGUGGUCACCGUGCCUCUGCUGAAGCCAUUCGUGAUGCUUUCAAGAUCCAAUAUGGAGACAAAUACAAGGUAAAGAAAAAGUCUCUUUACUGGCUUUUGAUUUGAGACUUCAAUGGUUUUCAAAAAGCCGGUCUUGAGUAUAGCCAGAUGAAACAUUGGUCCGCAGCCUCCAAAAUUUAAGUAACUAAUAUGUAUAGAUCAUUAUGCCUCGAACUGAUUAAGAAAAAUAUAUUUAUUGAUCAUCAUGGCUGCCGGCCCAGAGAUUUUGGAGGCUGUCGACGGUUCAACAAGUAUUUCAAUAAUUUAGUGUCCUAUUUUUUAAAAAAUUCAAAUUUGAAAGUUUAUUUAUAUAUAAAAUUUUCAAAAUUUUUGGAGACAGACGAAUGUUUCAUCCGGCUUGGCCAGGAUCGGCCCUAUAAUAAUCAUUUAGUCUGGUCUCUAUUUAAAAAACAUUCUUUUCGACCCCAAAAAAUAUAAGUGACUAAUAUGUAUAGAUCAUUAGGCUAUUUACUUGAUUUAGACAAAUAUAUGUAUUACUCCAUAGUCCAUAACUGUUUCAUGCUCUCUAAAUCUUAGGACCAGCCCUGUUUGCAUAUACAAAUUGAUAUAUCGUUUUGGUGGGGUUUUUUGACAGAUCAUUGUGAAGGAUGUGUGGAAGGAAUACACAGGGUGGCCACUGAACGACAUGGAGAGUUCGUAUAAGUUCAUGGUGAAGCAUGUUCAGCUAUGGAAAGUUGCAUUCCACACCACAUCUCCCAAAUGGGUCCACUCUUGCUAUCUAGCAGCCAUUGCAGCUUAUUACGCCAAGGAAGUUGAGGCGGGUUUGAUGGAGUACAAGCCAGAGAUUAUCAUCAGUGUUCAUCCUCUGAUGCAACACAUUCCCUUGUGGGUUCUCAAAUUCAAAAAGCCGGUCUUGAGUAUAGCCAGAUGAAACAUUUGUCUCACCCCUCAAAAUUUAAGUAACUAAUAUGUUUAGAUCAUUAUGCCUCUAACUGAUUAAGAAAAAUAUAUUUAUUGAUCAUCAUGGCCGCCGGCCCAGAGAUUUUGGAGGCUUUCGAGGGUUCAAGAAGUAUUUCAAUAAUUUAGUGGCCUAAUUUUUUUAAAAUACAAAUUUGAAAGUUUAUUUAUAUAUUAAAUUUUCAAAAAAUUUAGAGGCAGAUGAAUGUUUCAUCCGGCUUGGCUCAGAACCGGCCCUAUAAUGAUCAUUUAGUCUGGUCUCUAUAUAAAAAAACAUUCUUUUCGACCCCAAAAAUAUAAGUGACUAAUAUGUAUAGAUCAUUAGGCCAUUAACUUGAUUUAGACAAAUAUAUGUAUUAAUCAUUUACUCCAUAGUCCAUAACUGUUUCAUGCCUCUAAAUCUUAGGACCAGCCAUGUUUGCAUAUACAAAUUAAUAUAUCAUUUUUUGGUGGGGUUUUGACAGAUCAUUGUGAAGGAUGUGUGGAAGGAAUACACAGGCUGGCCACUGAACGAUAUGGAGAGUUCGUAUAAGUUCAUGGUGAAGCAUGUUCAGCUAUGGAAAGUUGCAUUCCACACCACAUCUCCCAAAUGGGUCCACUCUUGCUAUCUAGCAGCCAUUGCAGCUUAUUACGCCAAGGAAGUAGAAGCUGGUUUGAUGGAGUACAAGCCAGAGAUUAUCAUCAGUGUUCAUCCUCUGAUGCAACACAUUCCCUUGUGGGUUCUCAAAUGGCAGGAGCUACAAAAGAGAGUCCUCUUUGUCACUGUCAUUACUGAUCUCAACACUUGUCAUCCUACAUGGUAUAUAUAAUAAAUAGGCUGGUUUAUUAUAGUCUCUGAGAGAUGAUAACUGCAAAAUAAAUUGAUCUUUUAUCUCUACUAUGGUUUAGGUUUCAUCCAGGGGUGAACCGGUGCUAUUGCCCGUCUCAAGAAGUGGCGAAAAGGGCGUUGUUUGAUGGGCUUGAUGAGUCUCAAGUCCGUGUGUUUGGUUUGCCUGUGAGACCAUCUUUUGCAAGAGCGGUGAUCUAAGAAAGGAGCUUGAGAUGGAUCAAGAUCUUCGAGCGGUUCUACUGAUGGGAGGAGGGGAAGGUAUGGGUCCUGUCAAAGAAACCGCAAAGGCUCUUGAGGAGUCUUUGUAUGACAAAGAGAAUAAGAAGCCCAUUGGACAAAUGGUUGUUAUAUGUGGACGUAACAAGAAACUAGCAUCUGCGUUAGAAGCCACUGAAUGGAAGAUUCCUGUUAAGGUACAUGUGUAAACAUAUUAUUAGUCUCAUAAGUUUCAACACUCAAGCUUGGAUAUGAUUGACAUUAUAGGUUAGAGGAUUCGAGACUCAAAUGGAGAAAUGGAUGGGAGCUUGUGACUGCAUCAUCACAAAAGUAAGAGGCAGAGAACAUUAAUCUCAGUUUCACCAUAAUGUUCAUGAGCUCAGUAUAACUGAGUAAGAAUAUUACAUGCAGGCUGGACCGGGAACAAUAGCUGAAUCGCUUAUCCGAUCACUUCCUAUCAUCCUCAACGACUACAUUCCUGGACAGGUUGGUUGAGAUUUAUUAUAUAUUAAUGAUAAUCAAUUUUUAUUAUAAUGUAUAGUUUCUAAUAUCAGUUACACUUGAAACCAAACAGGAGAAAGGGAAUGUGCCGUAUGUAGUGGAGAAUGGUGCAGGAGUGUUCACAAGAAGUCCCAAAGAGACAGCAAGAAUUGUUGGCGAAUGGUUCAGUACAAAAACAGAUGAGCUGGAACAAACUUCAGACAAUGCAGGUAAGCUAGCUCAGCCUGAGGCAGUCUUCGACAUUGUCAAAGACAUUGAUGAGCUCUCGGAGCAACGAGGUCCUCUUGCUAAUGUCGCGUACACUCUUACCUCUUCCUUUGCCAGUUUAGUUUGAUGUCUCAUGUCUUAUGUUAACAUGUCGCCCUUUUUAGUGCCUUGUUUGAUCUCUUUUUUUUUUUACUUUCAUUUUUGUAAUAAUAAUAAUUUGUUUGUUGAUUAAGUGGAAUGUAAUAUUUUAUAACAAAGUGAAGUAAAAGAUUCAUGAUAAUAAAAUGAAUCACACUCUGAGAUCAUUUGUCAAUGUUUGUUUACAUAUCACUGUGACUAGUCGAUCCCAAAAAUAAUUAAUUUUAAAUAGCUAAAAAAUUUAGCCGUAUGAAAUAACGAUCUGUAACGUUGAGCAAACUACUCAUCUCUCGACUUCCUCUCAGCCGCCGAGAAAAAAAAAAAAGUUUAACAGAUCUAUCUCCGGUCCGGUCCGGAGGGUCCCCUCUUCCUCUUUUACUUUCUUUUCUCUUUGCCUUCUCGUUUUUUCCCAAACCCUAAGGCGAGAUACUUGAUGUUCUGGCUUGUCGAGGUGACUCCGGAGACUUGUGUGGUCAAGGGGCCAUCUCACGGCGUUCUUGGAGGAGCAGUGAGUCGUAGGAAGGCGGAAUCGAGGCAGGUCGGCUUUUAGGGUUGAGAGGAGUCAUCGAAUCGAUUUUCUGUUUUAGAUCUCAGACGCUCCUCUCACGCCAACGGCGAGGGCUUUGUUAGAUCUGAUUUUCCCUUUUGAGAUCUACGACAAAGCCAUCUCGACGACGGCACGUGACAACGGCGAGACGUCUCCUCAAUGCCGGAUCUACCUGUCCCUGCGAUGGUGAGACGGCUGGAGGAGUGACUCAACAGACGAUGGAAAGAAGCUGUCUUUCUUCGAUGUUCGGAGUUGACGCCCGGUGAGAAUCAUGUCGAUGGAGCUAGUAAACAAAGGUGAAGCAUUUACGGAUGAAGCGACAGAGAUCCUCAUCUCAGUGUCAAUGACAGUGGUGCGGUCAUGCCGGUGGUAUGGUCUUCGCUUUUCUUGAAGUUGCGAUCUAGUAUACCCAGUCCCGAUGUACUAGUCAAGGUUCAUCUUUUAGCUUGGUCAUGGUGUUUAAGCUUCAGACUAUGAAGCACUAUAGUGUCUGUCGGAAGGAUUGAAAGUUUGGUCGGAAUGCACAUAUGGUGUGGUGAGAGUUGGUUUAGCAGAUUAUUCGUAGAGUGGUGGAUGCAGUGAUUGCUUAUCGAUUCGGUUCUUAGACAGUGUGGAUCUGUCUGUCCGACUGGUAAGGCCUCGUUUUAGUUGGGAAGGUGACUGGUCUUCUAUCUCGGAGGAAGUGGACGCGAAGCACGGCGUCACAUCCGUAUCCAAAGGUUGUAUGGAUCGAGUAACGAUUCUCCCUGUUGGGUUAUGAAGUCGCAGUGUUUUGGUUCUUGGACGGUAUCGUUUGGCGUGCAUGUGCAGCAGCGAUAAGUCGUGGUGCAGGAGGUGGAGUUAUCGUGUGGCGGGCUAUGAGCAGCAGCGGCAAUUCCCGAUCAGUAGCCUUUAUAAAGGUUUUAAAUCUGCUAAAUUAAAUUUCCGAUCACUAUCGUGUGUUUUAGCUUUUAUCCAGUAUUAGUGCCGAGUAUGGCCUUUUUGUUUUGGUACUUUAAGUUCUCCUUGCGUGGGUUUUAGCUGCCGCCUUCAUGUGGGCUUUCGUGUACGGAGUUUGUCUAUUCAUCUCCUAGUUUAUGUUUUAAGUCGCCCUGGUAUGGGUUCUAGCAGCCGCUUUCAUAUGGACUUUUGUAUGUUUCUAUGGAAUGAAAUGAAGUACUUUUCCGGGGGAAAAAAAAAAAAAAUAACGAUCUGUAAUUAGUUGUUGCGAUCGAUCGAACAAUAGCCGCUAAAAAUUUUAGCCGUAUGAAAUAACGAUCUGUAAUUAGUUGUUGCGAUCGAUCGAACAAUAGCAAAAUGAACAACACACUAUGACUGUUCACAAAUCGAACGUAGUCGUAACGACAUGCAAACGAACAAUGUCCAAUAAUAAAAAAUAUUUUUAGCUCACAUAAUUAAGAUAGAGGAUUUUGAUCACGUCAACGUGCAUGCUAGAAGCAGUCUCUUCCAGUCUUCACUUAACGUAACGUUCUACGCUUCCAGUAGGAUAAGCUUCUGCUUAUGUUCGUUGAGUUAGAUGGUUCAAGUUUCCAAUCGUGCAAUGAUGUUAAAAUUUGCACAUGCUGCAAAUGUAUUUUCAUCUCACUAUUUCAUUUUAUUUAGUUUGUACUAACUUUUCUUCUUAGAGCUGGUUUGUACUAUUUUCGGUUAGUUGACAUUUGAUUAGAUACAAGUUAUUAUAAAUCUUUCAGAAUAUAUUAGUAAAUUAAUUUUACUAAGACUAGUUUUCAGAUUUUUUGAAAGAGAGAAUAUAAUAGGUAAACUUCACUAAUUACAUACAAUUUUAUCAUUCAUUAUAGCCCCAAAUAUUAUCUUAAGUUCAGGUCAGUGGUCACCAUGAUUUCUUCAUGUAACUUUUCACCCAAUUGCCAUCCAAAAUAUAAUAACAGUUAACUUUUCACAUAAAAUACCAUUAAUAUAGACAUUUCGACCGAAAUACGAAUACACUAGCUUAAGACCCGCACAAUUGUUAUAUAUAAAACUAAUUUUUAUCUAUUAUUAUUUAUUUGUAUUCAUUUACCUAUUAUAUAUAUAAUUAAAUUAGAUUAAAUACAUAAAUCAAAAUAAUAAAUCUUGUUUAUUUAUGAUAUUUUUUUGGUAAAUAAAUCAAAACAAUUAUUUAUUUAUUUUAUAUGGUAUAUAGCUAAAUUUUAUAUUUUGUGUUUAUUAUUGAUAAACACAAAAUUUCUAAUAUGUAAUUUUUUAAUGCAAAUUUCAAAAUUAAAAUAUUAAGGUUUCAAUACUUUUUUGAUACACAUUUAGAAAUUAUCAUAUUUAAGUAUUUUCUAUGUUAUAUAGUUUAAUUUUAAGCUAUAUUAAUAUAUGUAAUAUGAAUGUCUAGUAAAUGAGACUUCAUAUUCAUACGAUUUAUGAUCAUUUGUAUCUUGUUAUUACAAAAAAAAAUUAAACCAUUGAUCACAAAAUUACAGUAUGAGACAUUUAACGUUUUUAAUAAUUUAUAGUCGUUUUUAAAUUCAAAAUAUAACAUAAGAAAACAUUUUAAUUUUUUAUUAUAUGGUUAAUGUGGUUGUUUAAUAUCUUUUAAUAAUAUAAAAUUAAAUAAAAAAGAACUAAGAUACAAAAUUAUUAUCAAAUAUUUAUUAUUCAUAAUCAUUAAUUGACAUAUAUACGUUAAUCAUAUUAGGUAAUUCCGUAGUUUUUAUUUAAGAAAAGUGCGAGAAUAUUCCUUUGUGCACUAUUUAUCAAUUUAAUAGUUAGUUUAAUAAAAAGUAUAAUAUAAGUUAAGAUGGAUCACCAUAUUUCUCUAACAAUUCUGAAUUUCAUUCUCAUGGUGACACGUUGCUACAAAAAAAUGUGGUAAUGUUUCUCAAUUAAUAUAUAAGAGAUAUAUUUCCACUGAAAUGCAUUUAUAUAUGAUUAUUAUUUUAACACUGGUUAAUUAUGCUAUUACAAACUAUAAGAAACGUUAUAUAGAUGAUACUAAAGCCAACAAUUCUACCCGAGGAUUCUUGUCUGACUGCAUCACUCUAAGCCGCUCUAUGAGAUCCAUUACUGACGGCACUCCUUGUGUCAUGCCGAAGAUCUCUUGUAAGUUUUUUUCUCAAAUAUUCUGCAUAAUUCGCAUUCUGCAUUUUUAUAUAAUUAAUUAAAAUUUUAUUAUUAUUUAUUAAAAUAUUAAAUAAGAGACUGAUUUAAUAAAAAAAAUAAAAUAAGUUAAUAGGUUUAGCAUUUCUAGACUAAAAACAAAAUUCAGGAAACAAAAUUUUCCAAGAAUAAUAUUUUGGUGCACAAUCUUAAUAUUCCUUUUAUUUCUAAAUAUUUAGGGGACUAAUGAUUAGCAUAUAAAAAGUUUCCUUUGAAAAUAACAAUAUACUAACUCAUUUUCUUGCUUUCUAUAAAUUUCCUGAUUAUCUAUAAUUGAUUGCUAAAGAUUAUAUUCCUCAUAUACAUAUUACAGUAUUACAGCUGGUGUGUCAGUGAAAUAAAAAAAAAAUACUUGUAUUAGGUGCAAAAGAAAAAUAUUUUUUCUUGUUUAUGGCACUUUUCUUUCCAAAUAAAUAAAUAUACAUGAUGUGAGUUGGCACUUUGUGCACUAUUUAUCAAUUUAAUAGUUAGUUUAAUAAAAAGUAUAAUAUAAGUUAAGAUGGAUCACCAUAUUUCUCUAACAAUUCUGAAUUUCAUUCUCAUGGUGACACGUUGCUACAAAAAAAUGUGGUAAUGUUUCUCAAUUAAUAUAUAAGAGAUAUAUUUCCACUGAAAUGCAUUUAUAUAUGAUUAUUAUUUUAACACUGGUUAAUUAUGCUAUUACAAACUAUAAGAAACGUUAUAUAGAUGAUACUAAAGCCAACAAUUCUACCCGAGGAUUCUUGUCUGACUGCAUCACUCUAAGCCGCUCUAUGAGAUCCAUUACUGACGGCACUCCUUGUGUCAUGCCGAAGAUCUCUUGUAAGUUUUUUUCUCAAAUAUUCUGCAUAAUUCGCAUUCUGCAUUUUUAUAUAAUUAAUUAAAAUUUUAUUAUUAUUUAUUAAAAUAUUAAAUAAGAGACUGAUUUAAUAAAAAAAAUAAAAUAAGUUAAUAGGUUUAGCAUUUCUAGACUAAAAACAAAAUUCAGGAAACAAAAUUUUCCAAGAAUAAUAUUUUGGUGCACAAUCUUAAUAUUCCUUUUAUUUCUAAAUAUUUAGGGGACUAAUGAUUAGCAUAUAAAAAGUUUCCUUUGAAAAUAACAAUAUACUAACUCAUUUUCUUGCUUUCUAUAAAUUUCCUGAUUAUCUAUAAUUGAUUGCUAAAGAUUAUAUUCCUCAUAUACAUAUUACAGUAUUACAGCUGGUGUGUCAGUGAAAUAAAAAAAAAAUACUUGUAUUAGGUGCAAAAGAAAAAUAUUUUUUCUUGUUUAUGGCACUUUUCUUUCCAAAUAAAUAAAUAUACAUGAUGUGAGUUGGCAGAUUUAUUUAUUUUUGUAUUGUGUAAAAUUCCACUGUUGGAAAUAUUCAUAUUAUUUCUCUGGUCAUGAUAUGCUGUGUAAAUAUGUUGAAAAAAAUAAUAUAUAUAUGUGUAAGUGUGGCGACAAUGCAUUAAAAAUAAUUGGUACUACUGCGGACGACUCGAAAAAAAACUCAAGAGUUAUGUGUGCUUGAACAGAUAUUUCGUCUCGUUCGGAUAUUCUGAAUCCAUUGUUUCAUCGGCUUUUAAGUUAACUUAGCUUUCGGAUUAAUUCUUCAAAACACACUCUCUUUAGAGCCAUGAAUUUAAUGGGAUUACCUAGUAGGUAUGUUCUACAAUUUAUAUAUGUAUCCUUCUUUUAUAUUCUAUUUGAUUUUGUAUUAGUGAAAACUUGUUUGCAAGUGGUUUGUGUGUCAAGUGUAAUUACAGUUUGUAAAGUUUCUUGUUAGGACAAAUACAAAGCCUGAUACUCCUCUACUGUUGUGUUUACCUUCAAACUAGUGUGAACAAACCCAUUCCAUUUGAUUAGAAAUAUAUGGUUAUAAAUCCAUAAACUAGAUUAUUGUUAAUACUUCCAAACCGUUGAUUGAGAUUGUAGCAUAACCUCCAACAUGGCUUUCUAGGUUCUAACAUGAUGAAUCCUAUUUGCUGUCUUACAGUGCAAAUCAGGGGACAACAUUUCGACCAAAGAAGAGGAAGACACCUCCAUCUGGGAGCAAGGUCAGUGCAUUGGUAAUUAGAUAUCAUGUGGUUUAAGUUAUGGCUAUGUUAUUAUUACGUACAUUUUUUUAAUAUUCUGAACAAAAUGUAGGGUUCUCAGUUUGAAGAGCCCAUCACAACCACUCUUGGAAGUGGUAACCUCAGAGAGGCCGUGAAACUACCUCCUGGUGAAGACAUUAACGAGUGGUUGGCCAUUAACAGUUAAGACAGUCAUUAUAACCACUAAUAUCAAUUAGUGUCUCUAUCCCUACUUGAUUUAUAUCUUCUUAAGUUUUCUUUGUAUGUUUGAUUUGUCUUUCAGCCGUAGAUUUCUACAACCACGUGAACCUUUUGUACCCUACUCUCCAAGAGUUCUGCACCCCCGACACUUGCCCAAUCAUGAAUGCUGGAUUGUAACUCACUCCUUCGUUCUUGACUCUCAUUCAUCAGUCCAUGUCUGAGUUAAAUCAUAAAAUUUGGUCAUUUUCUUCUUCUUUUCUUCUUGGGUGCAGGUAUGAGUAUAGAUGGGCAGAUGGAGUUGCUGUAAAGGAGCCAAUAAGGGUUUCUGCUCCUGAAUACGUUGAGUAUCUCAUGAACUGGAUUGGAACUCAGAUCGAUAACGAAGCCAUCUUUCCGCAAAAACCUGGUAGACAUGAAGCUAGUGUUAAAUGUCUUUCACUAUGUUGUUUCUAGUUUUUAACACUCGGUUUAUUUUUUUCAUUCUUCUUCAGGAGUGCCAUUCCCACCAAACUUUAAGGAUUUCGUGAAGCAGAUUUUGAAGAGGAUGUUUCGUGUUUAUGCACACAUCUAUCACUGUCACUUCAAGAAGGUUGUUGGUCUCAAGGAAGAAGCUCAUCUCAACACUUGCUUCAAGCAUUUUGUUUUCUUCACAUCUGUAAGUUGAUGAAUAUCUCUGCAACAUGUUCAUUUUUUUUGGGAAUGUUCUAAUAGAUGUAUUAACUAUAAUGGGCCGUUUCUUUUUUUGCGACAUGCAGGAGUACCAGUUGAUCGAUGAAGCAAACUUGGCUCCUCUUAAAGACCUCGUGGAUAAGAUUCUGAACCCGUAGAAAAUGUUGAGAUAUCUCUAUCCAAAAGAAGUUGAUGGUUUCAUGUUUUACAAAAUGAGUUGAUGUAACAUUAAACUAUCUUGUGAUGUUUUUCAAACUCUCUUUCUUUUUUUUGUCAAGUUCAAAUUCUCAAUCAAUAAAUCUAUCAACAUAUAUAUGAAAAUGUUGAAAACAAAGUCUAGUUCCUUCAUUACAAUUUCCACCAAGGAUAUAAAGACACCCAAACAAACAAACAAAUACAUGAUUGACUAAAACAAAGAUACUCUCUUCCCCUCUGUGGACAAGACAGCAUCAACACACACCUAAGCCUUUCUAUGACAAAACAAAUAACCCCUGUGAGUUGCCAUAACUACAGGGAUGCAAAGAAUGAAAUAAACUCGGCCUUUCCACAAAUACAAAGGCCAGAGACUGAUCCCCAAAUCAAGAAGAAUAAUGUAAAGAGAAAAAAGGAAAAUGAUAUACACAAAAUGCCCCAUAGAAAUGGCUCACACGAUGUAUUUAUGUAUAUGCAGCAAAAACAAUAAUCGUAUUUGGUUGGACCUGAUGACACUUAUGACACACUGCCUUCUUUACGUGUGAGUAAGAACCCGAAACCUGAGUUUUCACGGAUCAGUUGAGGAGGCUCAAUGUCAUUCACAUCCACUUGUUGCAUUGACUUCGAUAUAUCUUCCACCGUGAAUGGAAUGCUGUGUUUUGAUUGAUUUAUUGUGUUAGUUUAGAAAUGGGAAGGUCUACACAAACUAAUUUCAGCUUUACCUCGAGUCAUCGUCCAAAAGGAAAGAGCUGCUUACGGCAUUGUUCGAGUCCUCUGUCAUCAUAACCCUCAUGUUUGCAAUAACCUACGGUUUUUGAAAAGAACACAAUUCUAACAAUAUCUAGACAAAAGAAAGCUUAGUUAAUUUACAAGUGAAACAUACAUCUGAAGAAACGCUAUGAGUGCCAUAUUUGUCAUCCCAAUACAUUGUGCUGAUUCUGUAUAGCUGCUGUAUACUUAGCACCUGAACAAGAACAGCAACUUCAAUGUUAAGCUCAUGAAUGAAAAAAAAAGUAAAAUGGAUUUCACAGAAUAGAAGAGAGAGUAAUACCGGACAGAGGUCUCUUGUUACUUCGUCCAAGGUCUUUUUCGGCUUUUGAUGAAUGACCUGAACAGAGUAAGCAAAGUUCACAUAAGCAAACAAUGUAAUGAAGCAUAAAAGGAGUGACAAAUCAUCGAUUAAAAUCAUACCAGGAAACCAACUGCCUGCCUGAUAUGCCUCAACUCAUCCCAAGCAGAGCCAGCAUACUGUAAUAAGAUGAAACAAUUAAAUCAAAACUCAAAAGGUAUGAAAUGUUUUAAGAAACAUUAAGAGACUAUGGCUUAUUACUUCAUCAGUAGCCUCUGCACACCACUGCUCUAAUUCAGCCAAGCCUGCUUUAACGUACUCGCCGUUGCUGAAUGAGCAACACUCACGACGUAGAAGAAGACUGCACAAUUGCAUUACAAAGAAAUCUUUUUUUGUUAAUCAAGAAUAAUCUGGUUUGAGAAGAAACGAAAGGAGAGAUGCCAAGUGAAACAUGCCUGUUGAAGAGCUGAACAUUGAUGAAUGAGAAUAUUUGUGUGAAUACUUUGCGGACUACGAAAGGUGGAGCCUGUAUCAUGUAAACACAGAAUAUAAACAACAUUCCCCAAAAAAAUAUAUUAAGUUUUUUUCUUUUGUUAAUUUCUUGUGGAAGUCAAGACUCACAUUGUUCGCUUUCAUUAGAUUCAAGUAACUGUUUAGGCUUUUCCUAAUACUUUGCCAAUGAGCAAUCAGAGCUUGUUGAGCAACAGCGUUUGCUUGUGCUCUCCCUUUCACCAAACUUGCCCUUGAUGUCCUUGGCGCCUGUAUCAUGUAAACAUGCACUUACACUUAAAUCAAUUAUCUGAUCGAAGUUAAGCUAAAAAGGAUCAGCAUAUCAACGUUCCACAACAAAAACUACAUUAUUUACCUGUAUACACAACCCAAGAAGAGGAGAGAUCUCUUUCUUGAGAUUAUCUCUGAUCAUUCCAUAUAUCUUCUCGAGGUAUGCAGUGAGCUGCUGCUUGAAAAGUAGUGCCGGGUACUUUGCUUCAACUUGCCUCAAGUCGUCAAGCUUAGUGAGCCCUUGUCUAUUCAGAAAAGAGAGUCCAGCACUUUGAGGAGAUGUCCUUAUUCCCUAUUUAGAAUGUUAACAAGGCACACAAUAUAAUUUAAGGCUGCACACCAAGGCAGUUAAAAGAAAAUUCGAAAAAACAAUUAGAUCUUCAGCUUCUUACUUGUGACAUCCUUCCAAAUAGAGAUGCUGAUGUUGUUCUUCGUCUCUGUGGUGUUAAACUAGCUGCUCCAGUUGCUUUGAGUGUGCGUUGCAGAAGCAGUAAUAGCGUGGCUGAGUUAGAUAACCAAUACGCCAAAACCUCGUUAUUAUCUGGUACCUGUAAUGGAAGACAACAUUUUCCAUACUUAUAUUCAGAAAAAUAAUCAACAUUAUGGAGUGCAGAACAUGUUGAAAUAGUGUCAUAAAAUGCUUCCGAGGAAAGACGCAAAAAAAAAAAAAGAAUCAACUUACUUCAAUGGCUGAAGCUAUAGUUUGAAUGAUACGGUCAAAGACGCUAGUUCUUUCGACUUCAAAUGAUCUCCAGUGAAGAAGACAUUUGUAUAUGACACAUGCAGCUACAGGCUUGCCCCCAGCAUAUCCAAGGUUUUGUGAGAUACACUUGACUAGUAGUUCUUGGUUUUCCUGAAUAAGGCAACCAUUAUAAGUUUAUAACAAAUAUAUAUUAAGAGAAAAUCAGAGUGCAAUACUGCAUAAAAAUGCAGUCUCACCGUUACAAUUAGCACAAGAAUAUCAUUGUAUGUGAUACAUGCAGAGUAGUUACCUGCUGCUUUUCAUUCAGAUAUUUCUGUGGUUUCUCCUCAGACUCUGGUUCUCGUACAGCAAGGGCCAUGUCCUGUGACAUUCAUAGACCAUAAGCAAUUAAAGAAACAAGAAAGUAUGAUGGUGUCCUUUUGAAUGGAGAAAAUAGUUCUUUCGACUUCAAAUGAUCUCCAGUGAAGAAGACAUUUGUAUAUGACACAUGCAGCUACAGGCUUGCCCCCAGCAUAUCCAAGGUUUUGUGAGAUACACUUGACUAGUAGUUCUUGGUUUUCCUGAAUAAGGCAACCAUUAUAAGUUUAUAACAUAUAUAUAUUAAGAGAAAAUCAGAGUGCAAUACUGCAUAAAAAUGCAGUCUCACCGUUACAAUUAGCACAAGAAUAUCAUUGUAUGUGAUACAUGCAGAGUAGUUACCUGCUGCUUUUCAUUCAGAUAUUUCUGUGGUUUCUCCUCAGACUCUGGUUCUCGUACAGCAAGGGCCAUGUCCUGUGACAUUCAUAGACCAUAAGCAAUUAAAGAAACAAGAAAGUAUGAUGGUGUCCUUUUGAAUGGAGAAAAUAAAAUGAUCUCCUCUUACCGGCGUAGUCUUUGUUUCUCCAUUAAGAUGGCUUCCAUUUUCUGGCGUUCUCUGGAGAAGAAAAUAUUACAUGAACAAAUAGGCCUUCUUGUAUUAAUAUGUGAAAAGAAAAAAUAAUUCAUAUGUUGUUGGCACCGGUAAAAGCAUGGUUCUUGAUCGCGUGGGCAUAGUUCUGCUGGUUGGAGAUAUAGCAAGUGCCUGUUGACGAAGAACUUGAAUCUCUGACUCUGAAUUGGAAAGCUUCUCUUCUAGUCUGAAAGCAAGAAAUAAACUCAAUAUGUAUUAGUCCAGAACAGAAGAAACACAGUUAUAACUUAUUCGCAUCAACACUUCUAAAGAAAAAACGAAAUUGUCAAAUGCAUAUUGACCAGUUCAACAAAUUUAAGCAAUUAGAAUAUGUAUUCUCUUUGUUUAUCCUUCAUCAAUAUAUUUUUACCAACCUUUGAACCGAUUCAUGCAGCUGAUCUGCUUUUCUAGUAGCAUUUUCAAGCUCUGUGGCCAGCUCUGAGUUUCUAGCCUCUGCCUCUGAGAAAGCUUUUCUCAAGUUUUCUGCAGCUUGUCGUUCAGACUCAAGCGAAGCCUGUAACAAAAAAAAAUAUAAGUUAAACUUCAGCAAUGAACAUAUGAAGGAUGAUAUAAUAAGCUUAAGACACAUACCUUUAGAGCCUCCACCUCUGAUGUUAAUGAAUUGAUUUUUUCAGUAUCUUCAACCAAAACCGGAGUCUCCUUAAUGACUGGAGGUGCUUCUUCAAUAGCUUUCUUUGCAGCCUCUCGUUCCCUAAUCACAGCAGCGUUUGCUUCUUCAACUUGCAACCGCAUUGCUUGCAGAGCCUCUUGUUGUUUUGCAGAUUCUUGGGCUUUUGCCUCUUCCAGCUCACUCUAUAUAACCAUGGAAUUAUCAAUAACAGUGUGUAACUGAAGGAUGAUAUCAUGCCAGUGUAUAGAAAUAAACUUACUCUCUGUCGCUUUUCUAGCUGUAAACGCCACGUUAACUCUUCAACACGCUUCUCAAGUUUGUCCUUGGCCUCUCUAAGGGCUCCUGUGUCUCGUGCAGCCUAGUUCAAUUAAUUUUAAAGAUAAGAAUCUGACCACUUUAAGAAAAUGUGAAAACUUAUGAUAUGUUUCAAUACAAAAAGAAAAUAGAGAGUGAACCAUUUUGAGUGUCCUUAAUUCUUUUCGUGCAACCCUGCUCCUCCAGCCACAUUGUGUCGAAAGGGCAGCUUUCUGGAGUUUCUUGUAGUAAGAAUGUGCCAGGUGACUACGAAGACGAGCCUAAAAUUAAAAAAAGGAGAAACCGUCAGAUUGAUGAUGCAAGAGGAAUAACCCAAAGAGGUUUCUUAUUAGUGACCUGAAUAAUAGUAGCAGCCUUCAUUUGCUUUCUGUAUCUGAACUCAUUGCGAGCAACCAUUCCCCUUAGUGCUGUUUGAACUGCUAUUGCUGAAUGUCUAAUCUUUAAAUAAGAUUCUCUGGCAAUAUGUCGUCUGAAACUCUUCUGAAUAUUCACCGCUGCUGCUUGGCGUCGCAUUUCUUCAUAAAGGUUGCAUGCCAAUUUGCCUUACAUUCAAUAAAAAAAGUUUCAGAAACCACUAAUCCUCCAAAAAUACUACAAUCCGCAAAAAAAGAGCACAUGGACACUAACUAUAUUUCACAUUUGCUACGGAAUACAAAAAAUAAACGGACCUCAAUAAGCCACUAAUGUCAUGGCUACACAGAGAGGCAAGAAAACUAGGGAAGAAGAUACCUCGGACAUUGGACUGCAAUACGAUAGCAGCUCCACGUAGAGCACGGAACUCUUUACGAGCGAUAAAAGUACGGCUUUGCCUUUGAAUUCUCCUAGCGGCAUUUCCUAGAACCUCGGCUCUUCUUGCAUCCAACUCAGCCAUCUGUCCAGCUCUAAGGAAUACUUUUGUUUUCCCUAACUGCAAGUGACAGCAUGUUGGAUAAAUUAGUCAAAGCUCCUAAACCACCAUAAAGGAACCAUUACAUAAUGCAAUUACAAACUACUUACCUCAUAACCCUUCAAGCCUAUCUUAUCCAGAAGCAUUCUGCAUGCAACUUUGUCGUCAUAACUGCACAGAAAGUGAAACCAUUAUAUACAUCGGGAAGAUGCAUGGCAUGUCUCAACGAAAAAGACUGCAAGAAACAAAAUUAUAUCAGAUGCAAAACUUACUUUCCCUCCAGAACAUCCGGAGCAAGAACACCAAAACGAUUGAGAAAGUCAUAAAAUGUCCGCUUUGUUGGAUAACCAGCACAACUGAUUCUAAUAGCUUCCAGGACACCCUUAACAAAAUUAAGACAAAUUUUUGUUCAGUAACCAAAAACGUAAAAGUUGAAGUACCUCAGUUGUUGAUACUCACGAACAGAAAAGUAUAUUAUGGAAGGUUCUGACUGUACUUACACCACAACGUAAUUGUUGAAUUACGUUCAGAUUCUCGAAAAUGGCAGGCUUUAGUACAUUAUUUGGCUUCACACAUCUGAUGUAGUGAGGUUCAGUUGAAUUGAGUGUCUCCAUCAACGACUGAAGUUGAAGCUGGAAUUUGAGAUAGAGUAUUUCUUGUUAAAAACAAUUUAAAAAUCUCUAAUACUUUGAGCUAGAGUCGCCACUACAUAAUGUCUGUAAUCAACACUCAUCUCCAACAUGGGUUAAACAAGUACUGAUGUCUGUAUCUACUUUACACAAACCAUUCAUGAUAUCAAUCACCAUACCUUAAAGCGUGACCCGAUGGAAGAAAAUUUGGUUUUGCUUGAUGUUUCUUCUGCUAGGCGAGGAAAUAAACCAGCUACGAAAGUAUCACUGGAAGCGAUCAAAAGAUCCUGAUGUUCAGCCACCACGUAAUCUUUGUUCUUGUCAAGGAACAAGUCAGCCUGAUAAGUUACCUGUUUCAGUCGGAAAGAGAGUGUGUUAAUGGAAUAAUAUCUAAACCUUGUCAUACGCAUGUGAAUGAUGUAUUACCUCUCCAGCAUAGUGUGAUAUCGCAAAGCUGGUCCGAGAUAGCUUUGGUUUCGUAAACCGCUUACUGUUUUUGAAAGUUUGAUACAGCUUCUGAGCAAAUGUUUCGUGUGUCGACUUCGGAAACAUACUGCAAAAGAAUGGAACAUCCAUUAUACACUUGAUCUCAGUCAAAUUAAGCAAAGCAGCGCCUUCAUCAGAUUCCUCUAAAGAGUAUAGCAACGUACCAUGCUUCAUCUAGAAGUGCAAUGACUCCUCCAGGUUUCUGUACGAGCAAGUCACAUACACACACAUAAGUAUCAAGAAGAAUGAAUGAGUUGUAAAUUAUCACCAAAAAAAAAUCGUUAAGGACAUAAUUAAAUCCAAGACCUUCUCAAUGAGUUCCAACACAUCCUUGUUAUCAACAAACUCUAUGUAACUCCAGUUGAUCUCUUCUUUGGUAUAAUCUUCUUGUUCCAUUUUGAAGACGUGCUGUGAGAAAAGUAAUUAGUGCUACGUCAAAACUAAGAAAGAGAAAAAGAUAUUCGGAAAGCUAAUGGGUUAAGAACAGACCUGGUUGAAAUGUUGUUGCAGCUUUUCAUUGGUAAAAUUGAUGCAAAAUUGCUCAAAGCUGGAAAAAAAAUUACAUGAAACUCAAUACAGCCUUUUAACGUCUUCACAGAAGAAGAAAUAAUUCUGCAAGCUGCAAAAUGUACCUGUUGGUCUUGAAGCUUUCGAACCCAUAGAUAUCAAGAACACCAAUUAUUGUCUUAGAGUUUGGAUCUUGCCCGAUAGAAUUGUUAAUUUUAUCAACAAGCCUGAAAAACAGAAUACGGAUUUUAAGAAGUUAGAAAUUUUAAGUUGUCAACUUUAAAUUACAUAUACUGACACAACAAGUGAAACAUGGGAAACAAUAAUUAAUCACAUCCAUCAAAUUUAAAGAGAGGAUGUUUCUUUGCAUACCAAUCAAACAAGCGUGAAUAUAUAGUUUUUGCCAGUGCAUCCCUGCUACCAGUGGCUGAAUCAGGAUCAAGAGUUUUUGUAAUAAUCUCUUCUGGUGUAACCAUUGCACGUUUAAUCAAUGCAUCUUCCAAACUCUUUGCAUCACACCUUUUUUAAAGAAGUGAGUCCAGGAUCAAAAAUGUAUAAAAGAAACAAAAUAGAAAUGAAGAUUAAACAUGUAAGCAACACAUACCUAAGAAGCUCGGCAGUCGCAUCCAGAUGAAACCUUGAUUUUUCAUCCUUCAAAACUGAGGAGUCAAUCUCUUUUCCUUUUGCAAAUUCGACAUUACCUAGAUGCAGGAUUGCAGCAACAACUCUAAAGAUUGCAUCCUGAUAGCAAUUAUCAUCAGCAAAAUGCUCUACCAGAGAAACAAUCCCUUGUUGGAAAAGGAGAAAGUGAUAAGACUGACCUGUUCCUCUUCACUGAUGCCAACAAUAUCCAUAGCUCGCCGGGUAGCAAGAUACUCCUCGGUAUCAUCCACUCCAUCCAGUUUAUAGCACUUCGAUUGGUUUAGGUAGUGGAACGACUUUGGAUCUCCCAACUUGAACUUUUCUCUUUCCUACAGAAUGGGAAAAGAGAUGAAAUCCUCCAAUUACUUAUUCGUGAGGUACAAAGCAGAACGCUGCACAGAAAGGUUUAGUGCUAACAUUGUGCAGCACCGUACCUCAGGUGGAGCAGCACAUAAAAGGUAAAAGCAGUGGUAAUUUCUUUCUGGAUCUGAUAUUUGACACACACGAGACCUUUCCAACAAAUAUGUUCGGACAGCUGCUCCCGAUAUUCUCCCACUUCUGUCGAACUGAAGCUCCACAAACUUUCCAAAUCGACUGCAUUUUGAUUUAAAGACAAAGUUGCAAUGAGGUUUUCUAAAAAGAAGUUUUUCUGAAAGGUCAUUAGAAUAACUCUAUAACACAAUAAUCUAUGAUGUAGUAAAGAAGAAUAAUCCUUCACUUCAUCGAUGAAGAAAGUCUGAAAAGUAAUAUGGUUUAUAUGAUUCAACCUAUUACAUGUGUGCCAUCUGUGCAACUGAUCACUGAGGUUUCUUAGUUACAAUACAAAUUUCUAACAAGUAGUGACUGAAGAAGCUUUGCGCAACGAACAUGUUUGAAUAUGCAACUCAUGAAAGCAUUUAAAGAGAAGAUCCAUAGGAAAAACCUCUCAGUGAACAUAAGCAUACCUGGAGUUGUUGUUCCGGAGAGUUUUGGCGUUUCCAAAUGCUUCAAGAACUGGAUUUGACUGUACACCACCAACAAAACCAAAAUAGUUAAUCAAGCUAGCAUUACAAGCCUCUCUGUAGGUAUAUCAACACAGUAGCUAACAUAGAUUUGUGACGCCUCACCUCCAGCACUUGCUGUUCCACUGUCCUUCCUUCAACCCCGGAUCGACCACCAAGGUAAGCAAGGUAGCGCAUAAGCAUCUUCGUGGUCUCAGUUUUACCAGCUCCACUUUCCCCACUAACAAGAAUUGAGUUGCUCUUGCCCUCAUUGAUCAUCGCCCUACCCAGAGAAGAACACACAAACAUGAGAAAAUGUACAAAUAAAGAGAUAAAGAGAAUUUCGCUUUGUGAAAUCAUUGGUUGAUCCUAAUUACCUGUAAGCAACUUCUGCGAUUGCAAACACAUGGGGGCUUAAUUCUCCAAAGCCUGCUCCUUUAUACUGCUCCAUCAUAUGAGUAUCAUAAAGAUGUGGUAACCUUUGAAACGGAUUUACAGCGAUCAAGAUGUUUCCGGUAUAAGUCUGCAAACGCAAUUUAGUGGGAAUACUUAGGACUGUGUAGUGCUUAGUAAUUAAAUAUAAUGUGAUUACAUUAGUACUCACUCGGCGCAGAAAAAUGCAUAACAACUUACAUAGAUUUCAUUAAGCUCAUAUCUCAUGGCCAAGUUAUUCAAAACACCAGGUUCAUGUAGAUAUGAGAGCUUUGUCAUGUCAUCAACACCCCCAGGGAGCGCCUCCAUAUCCUUUGGAAAUACGUUUGCGAUUUUGGCCACAACCUGAAAUUAAAUUUCAUUUGUUGAUUAAUAUAUUAUCUAGUUUCAGUGAUUGUAAUAUAAUUAUGGAACAACGGUGUCAAAACAUGGAAGGAGGGAUAGACAACUUACGGUCUUCCCGUUAGUGGUCUGUGCAUGAACUUCUUCGCCAUUGAUUUUGACAACUUCUCCAUCAAUCCAUGCCAACCCUGGAUCUUCAAUCCAAACAUGAGAGCCAACUAUUAUAUUGACUGGGGCAACCUACAGGAUAUAAAGAUUGGAAGUGUGAGGUACAGAGAUAUUAAUAACUUCACAGAAGCUGCUGCUUUAAUCUGAAUUGAGGGAAACUAAAUUUGAAUCAUUAUAAACUUGAAAGAAAGCUUUCAAGAUUUGUGUAAUGUUAAUAAUACAAUGAUCCCUUUGAAUAAGUAUUAGUGGUAUAAAACAAGCAGAAAUGUUAUCAAGCAUAGAACAACUAACAAAAGAAACAUAUAAAUAUGUAAACACAAGAGCCAUUGAAGAAAGCAUUCUAUGAGAUUUGAACAAAUUUAGAUUAAUGAACCGACAAAGUUAUCAGAUUUCAUACAAGAACAGCAAAGUGGUACUAGAUCUUAUAGUUUAAGUCCACCGUCCAAAGAACAGGAAGUGGAAUGUGAAACUGGAUGAGCUUCUAACGAAUCUUAUCGAGCAAUUAACUUUUAUAAUCUGCAAAACUAUAUAUCUUAAACCUUGAAAAAAAAGAAGUGUAUUUAUUCGAAAAAAAAAUGGUCGAACCUAGAGAAGUUUCCUGAUCAUAUAAAAUAUAACAUAGAAGAGCUUACAUGACCACAUAGUACAUGCUAUUCUAGCCUAGGCAGCUUGAGAGCAACUAAUAAUAGAAGUUUAAAAACGAUGAUAACUUUAUGAAAGCCACUGAGUAUAGAGGUUAUAGGAAAUGAUAGACAGUAAACGCAAAUCUCAUACAAAAGAUCUCUUUUUGUUGCUCUGAUAAUUGUAGAAAAUCAAUCAGUUUUCCUUCUAUUGAAUCAGAGAAACCAUUCAACAAAACAGAAUAAGCAAUACCAUGGCUACUCUUCCUGCAAUAAAGAUCCUAUCUUUGCCAGUAGCUCAUCCAAUAGAGACGCCGAGUUUGCAGAGCGCCUGACUCAGAUCGGUGAUGAGAUUAUAAGGGUUGGUGGUCUCUAAAAUAGUUUAAUUGGGAGCCGCCACGAGGAGAUCGGAUUUGACUAGAAGAGUCGUCCGUCACAGAGAUAACCAAAUCUUUCUAAAGUUGAAUCGGAAUGUUUUCUCCCUCUCUCUCUCUCUCUAGAAAGCUGAUGACUUGGGCUUCUAGCAGGCAGACGUCUAUGCCUUUUUCUCUCUCUCCUUCGAGCAAGCAAAGCAAUGUUGUUUUUCUCUCUCUCUCUCUCUCUAAAACACUUUUUUGAAAAACAAAUAAUAAUGUUUAUUUUGGGUGCCUGUGAGAAUGGAGAUUGGUCAAGUGGGGUCCAGUGAGACUCAGGGACGGUGCUGGAUCGAGUUGGACAUUCGUGGUCAGCCACCCCAAGAAUAAUUAUGUUGUAAGAAGCAGACAACGAGGUAAGAGAGUUUACUUACUUACUGUUCGGGUAAUAAUAAAAAGUUUUCACAUUUGUUUUAAAAAAAAUAAAAUAUUAGUUGCGGUCGUUUUGGUUUCCGGUUUGAUUCGGUCCGGUUUAGUUAUCACUUGCUUACAAGUUUACACAUCUAACAGUGUCGGCUUGGUUACUGCGAGUCUGAGUGAGACGAAGAAGAAGGAGAAAGGGAACGAUGACAAUGAUGAGAUCUUUCUCGAUGGCAAUGUUGCUCGUCGCACUAGUUUCAUCCAUCUCUAUUGUUUCUUCGGCUUCUUCAUCCCCUGAAGCCGAGUUUGUUAAGAAGACCAUCUCUUCCCACAAGAUCGUUAUCUUCUCCAAAUCCUACUGCCCGUACGUACCUCUCUCUCUCCCUCGAUCUAUAUCUGUUCAUUUCUAGUCGCUGAUCGUCUGCUUCUCAUAAAAAGAUUGGAUCUUUAUUGCCUUUGGUUUGCUUUUUUUUCUUUUUAGAUCUUAUCAGAAUGAAACUUGACUGAAGGGAAAAGUCUCCACUUUGCAUAUAUGAAUCUGUGUCUAACUUGAAUCCAAUGAAAGUCCUCAGCUUUGUCUCGUUACAGAUAGUUUAAACUAGCUAGAUAUAUGUGGGAAUCAAGUUUGGAUUUUUGAGAGUUCAGUUAUAUGUGCUGUGUAUUUGUUCUAUUGCUUUACUAUUUGGCCUUUUUAGAGUUAUGCAGUAAUAUCACUCAUCACUUACCUGUGUAUAUGACUAUGAAUCCUUGUUGGUGUCAACAGGUAUUGCAGGAGAGCCAAAUCUGUGUUCAGUGAGCUGGAUCAGGUUCCUCAUGUUGUGGAGCUUGAUGAAAGAGGUGCGUUUUAACAUUUUAAAAAAUGUAUAUAAGAUUCAUUUGUUGACUAACGAUUGAGAGAUUUGAGGAACUGAUUAGUUGUUUGUAUAAAAAUUGGGUAAUUGCAGAAGAUGGGUGGAACGUUCAGAGUGCACUUGGAGAGAUUGUUGGAAGGCGAACAGUACCACAGGUUUUCAUUAACGGAAAGCACAUUGGAGGAUCAGACGGUAAAUACUCAGCUUCUUCUCCUUCAAGAAAAUAUCUUUGCUUGUGACAACAUUAUGCUGAUUGAUUGAUUUGUUUAUUGUUUUGUGGCUGUCAGAUACUGUAGAAGCGCAUGAGAGCGGCGAACUGGCCAAGCUUCUCGGUGUUUCCACCAAAGCUGAACUCUAGGUUCAAUGUAGUUGUAGUUGGAGUGAUACUCAGGUGUAAGCACUUCAAUUUUCCAGUUUCAUGAUAACUUGUAAUGUGUUCUGAAGGUUAUAAACGUCUUGUCAUGGUUUUGUGAAACUGUAUUAAAGACUACAAGUUGGAUUGAGAUUCAAAUCUGGUCAUGCUUCAAGCUAACUGUCUGAACAACAAACAGAUACAAAGUGCAUUAUACAAUUUAGGGGGAAUGGAUAGAUAGAUAGAUAGAUGGCUAAAGCUAAUGGAAUAAAACAUUUAGGGACGAGCUCUUUUGUUGCUGCAAGAAGGGCACUUGUAUUGCUUGAUAUGCUCAGCUCUAGCUGGAGUGAUCUUCACACACUUCCCAUGAAACCAUUUCUCGCACAUGUCGCAGCAUAUCCAGAAAUCAGAAGCAUAGUUAUCUCCACAAGCUCCACAUAGGGUCUCACCGUGUUCCUCUUCAUCCUCUUCCUCUUCCUCUACUCCUUCCUCCUCGUCGUUGACCUCUAUUGUCCUUGAGCUUUUGACAUCUAAAUCUCUCUGCAUUUCCAGAACAAAGAAAACAUUUACUACACCAACAUAGCAAAUGUAAACUUCAAAAAAAAAGAAGCUAAUCAACAACUAUCAUUUGAUCAGAAACUUAAGAUAACUUGGCCAUUUCAGUACAUACUGGUCUAUUGAUUACAGCUCAAGACACCACUCAGUCUUUGUUACCUCAAACCUAGAGACUUCUCAUACCACAAGAUGCACAAAGUAACGUUUAGGGAAUCACAAAAUAUUGUGUUCAGUCUGUGUUUCAGAAGCUCAGUGGCAAACUGUGUUAAUGUUCUAACCCUUAUUAAAGGAGAGCAUGAAGCUUACCACUUUUGAAUUAGACUUGGAUCUGUUGCCAUUUUUAUUAACUGAAGAAGGCUGUUCCUCUGUUUGUUUCUUCGCACUUCCGGUUACAACUUCAAAUACAGUAGGAACCUCAUUUAUCAUGUUGAACAAGCGCUUCCUGAAUCAGUUCAUGUAUCAUGAUAAUGAUUGAAGAGAAUUACAUACCAAUCAAGAAGUAAAGGAUUGAUAUAUAUACCUGUCAGCUUUAUCGAAGCCAAAUCUUGAACCGAAGUAUAAGGAGACAGAAAGCAACCAGGCAUCACUGUGUACAGCAACAAGGGAAAUCCACUCUUUUUCCUGCAUUCCAUCUCUGGCAAAGUUGAUGCCGAGCGCAGGCUCAGGGAGCUCAGGAGGCACUUCUUCAGCUGGUAAGUUGACUUCCCACACUUCAUUUGGGAAUCCAUACAAGCAAAGGUUGUCCUUCUCUACAAAUACAGACUUUCAGUUUCUCAAACUAGCAAAUAAAGUUACAAAAUGAAAUACUCAUACAGUCAUACUAGUAAAGACUCAGCAGAUUGUGCUAGAAAGCAACUGUGAUCAAAUGUAUCAAACAAAAAGUAAGAAGGAGAGCAAGAUAAAUGUAGUUUUAAGUGUCAGUAUUGAUUUGGUUAAAGACUAUGUUACCAUUAUCUUAGCAGAACACAGAAGCAAAGAUGUAUACAUAUAUAUAUAUAUACAUUUAAGGUAGAGAAAGAGAAAAACUCUAACCAGGAUUGCAUUGCUGGAAAAACUCUUUCACAUCUGCAAAAUAAAAAUAGAAAAGUUAAAACAAAUCAGAAAUAUUAUUAUAUUCAUGAAUUAGAGAAUUCAGCAAUCUCCACCAACACAACACAAUCUAUAACACUAGAGAACAGUUAUUUAAUAAAAAAAAACUGAAUCAGACAAAUAAAACGAUGGUCGUGAGGAAAAUUCAAAACAUAAGAGAAAAAAUGAAAACUUUAAAAAGAAGGAGAAGAGAAGAGAAGAAAGAGACCGGUGGUGAGAGCACGGAGGAUGCCAGCACGACGGCCCUUGAAAUCUCGGAAGACUUCUUCUACAGUUCGAGGGUUGUAGCGGGCACCUCCUCCUCCUUCCAUCUUCCUCACGAUGAAAGAGCGGCACUCAAGUAAAGAAAAAAAAAAGAAGCAAAAGUCUUUUCUUUUUGGUUUCAAGUGAGUGAUGAUGAUAAAAGCAGCAAACUUUGGUUUUAGAGAAAAGAGAAAAAAAUAAUUGAAUGAAGACGAAAAGUUGAUCCACUGCUCCUUGGAAAGUGACAGACAGGCCCGAUCUAGUCACACGUCAACACUUCACUCUAUUUCAAAUAGUACUGUGUAUGAUUUACAACUUGAAAACAAAAACAAAAAAAAAAUCAAAAACCAUAUGCCUACAUUUCUAUGUCGACACUUCAGCUGUAGAGGAUAAAUUGAUAAACUGAAAACAUUUAUGUGAAUAGAACUUAAGGAAGAACUAAAUCUAGUGUUAAGGAAAACAAUAAUCAGAUGCCUACCUAUGUUAUUAAUUAAUGAAAAAAAGACUAGGAUAACACCAAACCAAGUUUUUGUUUUCAAAGUCGCACUCAAGGUUCAAAGUCACAAAAAUAAGUUUCAUUAAAGAGGUAAAUAUACACUUAUACCCUUUGAAGUUUAUGUCUCAAAAAUAGCAGUAGAAAGAGAAAGUCACAAAAAUGACAUUCAUUAAAGGGUAAAAUAUCCAUAAUAUCCUUGGUUUAAAAUUAAAUAAACAAACAAAAAUAAAUAAAAAUAAAAAUAAAAAAAUAUAAAAAAAGAAUUUUUUUUAUAGUUUCAAAUUAUGUGUUUUCAGAUUCGAAAUUUUUAUAAUUUUUUUUUUUUGAAAUUUUUUUUUUCGAAAUUUUUUUUUAUUUUUUUUCAAAUUUUCUUUUUAUAAUUUAAAAAUACUUUUUGAAACUGUUUUUAAAAUUUUUAUCUUUUAUUUUAGUAUUUAUUUUUUAUAAAAUUUUAAACCCUAAUUCCAAAAACCCACCCCUUAACUCUAAACCCUAAGGUUUGGAUUAAUUAACCCAAGGGGUAUAAGUGUAUAUUUACUGAAACCUAUUUUUGUGACUUUGAGCCUUGAGUGCUACUUUGGGAACAAAAAUUUGGUUUGGUGUUAUCCUAGUCUUUUUCUCUUAUAAGUAUUUAGGCGGAUUAUAAGAUAACACUGAUUAACACUAUAAGCACUCAAUAUAGUAGAGACUACAGUCAAACAUAUUCCUCUUUUUAUAUUCCUAAUCCCAUUUAACUCUACAACUUGGAUUAAAACUUAUUCCACGAAUAACAUUACUAGUAGAUAUGUUAACUAGAAUUUACACAAGUACUCAAUACUUUUAAAUUCAAAUGAGCGCCCAUAAUUUGCAUGCAAACUUAACUGAAGAUUGGAAUACAUUAUAUGAUCACAUAAGAAACAAAAGAUAGUUUCACAAUCAUUUUCAAUCAUAUAACCAUUUUCGAAAUCAUCUACAAAGCAAUAAUCAUUUAGAGGAAAUGGUUAGUAUCAUAAGAGAAGGACCAACAGUUGGAAAAAUAACCAAAAACGACAUGAAAACUGAAACAACUCAGAACGUACAAUAUCUCCCAGUGGCGGUUUCUGCUUACAAAGUCCCUCUCCAGCAUCUCACUCUCAAAUGCAAUAUACGCAUAUAUGUCUGCUUUAUAAAGAUACUAACGUUUCAGGUUUCAGUAGGAUCCAACUGAGUCCAAACUAGUUACCUUCCUGCCAGACCACAGAGACCAACGUCAAGCCUAGAGUAAUACUUUCCAAAAAAAAAACAUCAAAACAUAUCCGGAAGCAUCUAUAAAACAAGCAUCGUUUAUGACCCUCUGAGAGCGAACUUUACCUUUAUCGUUGUUUCUUUUCCUCAGGCGCAUGCUUUACAAGGAACUGCAUGACCGUCCUCCAGUAAACGUCACCCCCAGUCAGCCAUGUAUCCAUAUGCAUCCCACUCGGAAAUUCCACAAAUGUGCACUGAGAGUUACGGGCAGCCGCUUUAGCGUAUAGCAUUUUCAUGUGAAACGGAGGGACCAUCUCGUCUUGCAGUCCAGAGAGGAAAAGUACUGGUUGUUUCACCUGUUAUUGUUACAAAUCAGCUUAUCAGUGAGCUGAUAAAGAAUAAACUCAUGACACAUGUUCUAGUAUCAAAAUAUAUAUAUAUUUUUUUCUCCUGAGAAGGAUACUGCCCAUCUAACCAUGAGAAGAGAAUUAUAGUAAUAUGGAAUAUAUUAAGUGAUCUGCUUAUUUAGUUAUUUCAAUGGAAUAUGCAAACUGUAAGCGAGAAAAAUACAUUUAAAAGAAAGCUACAAGAGUCUACAUUGCUUCUUACCUCACCAAUAGCGUCAAUAGUGUUCCAUGGGGAGCGUACAACAAAAUUAAGAAGUUUUAGGCUUUUAGUACCGCUUCCUCCAAUAAACCACUUCAAGAAGGGCAGCAAAACACCAGCCAUGUCAAGAAUGGAUGUGAAAGUGUUUUCCAGAAUCAAUGCAGAUACCUAUAUAAGGACAGUGCAGAGAUGGUAAACAUACAGCUAAUUGACGUGUAGAGAUAUAAACUUAGUACUGAAGGCAAAAAAAUAAGAAAUAUAUAUAUAUACUUGGGCCACUAAUAUUCUCUCCUCCUAAGUAGUAUAUUCUCUCUAGUCAUCUGUUAAUAUGAAUAUUUAGUAACGGUACCUUUUCAGGAUUGUUUUUAGUAAGCACAGCUCCAACAGCUCCUCCAAGGGACCUUCCAAACACAACUAUUCUAGAUGUAUCAAUGUCUGUCCUUUGAGAAAGGUGAUCCAAGGCAGCCUAAAAAAAAUAAAAGGCCAUAAAAUAGGUAAUGAUGAAUACAUGGAGACAUGCACACAAGAGUUUAAUGGAAAUGUAGACAGAUUGAGAGUGCAAAACAAACCUGAGCAUCUUUAAUGAUUCCAUGCUGUGACGGAUAACCAUCACUUUCCCCAUAGCUAGUUGAACAGAAAAAAUCAAUCAGUUAUAAUGCAAGAAAGGUAAACAAGCAGCAAUAGAUCCAUGUAACUAAAAAUAAACGAUUAAGAUAAGAGAUAGACUAGAAAGCAGGUAACUGAAACUGACCCGCGAUAUGAAAGCAUGAAUACGUUGCAGUUCAAUUUUUGUAUCAUGAUGCGAACCAUCUCUAGACGAUGAGCGAUAUCUAGGGUUCAAAAGGUCAAGGUCUUCACAAGGCAAAGAACCCCACCCAACAGAAACUCCUUAGAGCAUAUACAUAAAUAUAAAACAGAACUCUUUAAUUUACAAAUCACCAAGAAAUGGCUCAGGAAAGGAUACUUCCAGCAUUCUCCUGGAAAAAUAGAAUGGUUGGACCUGCAAGGAAUACAUCAACUAUUAGAAACCAGCUGAACGAAUCGAGCUAAGCUACUACAAACCAAGAGAAGUGAAAUAAGGGAAACUAGUAAAGUUUGAAUUUUAAAGUCAGAAGCUUUCCCAAUUGUAUAAAUCAAAUCUACCAACGAGAAGAUAUAUUACUGAAUCAAUGAGCAGUUGCGUGGCGAAGCUUUUAUGAAAUUCCUAAAACGGAAGAAAGUAUUUUGUUGUGACUCUAACCUAAGGUAAGCUAAGCUAAUAACAACCAAGAGAAGUGAAAUUAGGGAAACUAGUAAAGUUUGAAUUUUGAGUGUGGCUGAUGAGUUGCAAACUAGUACUAUAACAUCAUCAUUACCUCACAGGUCACAAAACUGACCAAUUGAGACCAGAACCUAGCUGAAAACAGAGAUAUCAAGACCUAACAUCCCUAAAGUCAGAAACUUUCCGAAUAUGCAUUAAUCAAAUCUAACAAAAACAAGAUAUAUACUGAAUCAAUGAGAAGUUUCGUGGAUCAGAAGUAGAAUGGUGAGGAAAAAAAGGAGAAACCUUGACAAUCAGGGAGCAUUUUGAUGAACCAGGAGUGGAGCCGCACGCCAUCGGAGGAGCGAAGCCAGACGUCCUCGUAGAUGAGAUUAAGCCUGGCGGGGGUGAUCGGGUAUGACUUGGUUAAACCGGGGAGAACCGGGACGUAGACUAGCUUCUCCUGGAAGACCACGAGGAGCGCCACGCCCGCGACGACUAUCCCUCCUAAUCCGUACAACAACACGCUCACGUACGCCAUUGUUCUCUCUCUCUCGCUCUAUCCGUCUGCUCGUAGCUGAGCAGAAGCCGAAUGUGAAUCUGAAUCCAAAACAGAAGUACUUUGCCACUUUCUAUCUGUUUCUCGCGUGUCUUGCUGCUUUUGCUUUCCUUCUUUGAGAGGAGAACGACUGGGUCGUGUAAUGGGCCGAAACAAGCCCAUCACUGAUUUUUUUUCAAUUGUCUUAUUGGGUCAUCUCCUGAUUAUGUUAUUCUCUAACAUUUGCUUGUUCAGGAGAUGUGUUAGGAAACCAAAAAUUUCAACCAUGGUCUAUAGGCCUGGGAUCUAUAAUGGAACCGAACCCGCCGUACCAAACCGAAAUUUCUGUUUGUUCGGUUUGUUGGUGAAAAGUUUGGCUCGAUUCGACAGGUUUAUAAAAAAAACUUUGGUGCUCGGUUCAGUUUGAUAAUCGCUUAGUUCAUUUUUUAAAAAAAAAUUUAGCGCGAAUUAACCAAGUUUUGAAUCAAAGUAGCCGAAAUUAUCCAAAAUAUUGAAAACUAACCAGCCGAAUUUAACUGAAUUUACCCAACUUUUUAAUCGAAACAAAAAAUUUUGGUUAGUUUCGGUAAAAAAAAAACUUAACUAUCCGAAUUCCGAACCGAACUACCAAACCGAACCAAACUCUUAUACGGUUUAAUUCAGCAAUAUUUUAGUUGAACUGAACUAUCCAAAAAUUGAACUACCCGAACCCGCCUGCCUACAUUGGUCUAUAUGUUUUUUUUCAGAACACUAUACUUGAUCAUUCUACUUUCUACACUGAAUUUUUUAGUUUCAUGUUUUGUAUAUAUCCUAAUGAACUUGGCUUUUGUUUAUACAAAAGGUAGAUUCUAUCUUACAUGAAAUAUUUGUUUGUAUCUCAAAAUUAUAAAAAUAGAGAACAAUUUGUAAUGUCAACUAGCUGUUAUCUUUAAAAUUUUGAACAAUUUGUAAUGUCAACUAGCAGUUACUAAAUAGUGCGAGUGAAAAUGCUAAGAAAAACUUUGAUUACUUAGAGCCACCAUAAAAAUCUUUCUUUCGUUUUAGGUUUCUCAAAAGGUCAGAGCCGGUUUUGCAUGUAUCGAUAAUUGAAUCCUUAAGCACACUUGAAAUACUUGACUACAAUGAACAGCCUUUGAUACAUCUGAAAGUCUAAAUCUGCAAGCAGCAAUAAUGUAAAAUCUCUCGAUUUAAGCUACAUUGACAAGUGGAAUCCCGCUCAAGUUGUCUUACUUAAUCAGUAGACCAAACAAAAUGGUUUACUUUUAGCAUUAACCGAGUGUGAUUAGAUUAGCGGAUUUACCGUAGAGAUGACGCGGGACCUUUUCUUGAUUUUUAAUUAAAAAAAUGGAACCGGUCUUCCUGGUUAAAGUGAGUAUAAAAACAUAAAAAGAGCACCAUGACCAAACACACAACACAAACCAAAGUUAGAAACUGACAGCAUCUACUGUCUCUCCGUAUCCAAAAAGAGAAGAAACAAAAUCACAUUACCAAGAAACAGCAGCUGCCGGAAAAUGCUGACUUGUAUAGCUCGUUCGAAGCGAGCCGGCGAUGAAACCUCGGGUCAACCCGACGAUCCGGAUUCCAAGCAAGCCAAAUCUCUAACAUCUCAGGUAGACUUCUCUCUCUCUCUCUCUCUCUUUGCUCAUCCUCCACCUCUUGUCAUUCUCUAUACUGAUCAAGGGUAUUUUCGUAAAUUCAUUCUCAGCUCAAAGAUAUGGCUCUGAAAGCUUCCGGUGCUUACCGACAUUGUACGCCGUGUACGGAGGGGGAAGUGCAACCGCCGAUCAAGAGCACUCCGGUGACGACAAAGUCUGAUCCCGAAUCUGAUCAACGGUUUAAAAUGCUGUACGGUAGAUCAAACAGCUCGAUAACAGCCACGGCGGCGGCGGCGGCGACGCAACAGCAACAGCCUAGAGUUUGGGGAAAAGAGAUGGAGGCGAGGCUGAAAGGGAUAUCGAGCGGCGAGGCGACUCCGAAGUCGGCGAGCGGGAGGAACCGGGUAGACCCGAUAGUGUUCGUGGAGGAGAAAGAGCCAAAGGAGUGGGUCGCUCAGGUGGAGCCAGGUGUUCUCAUUACGUUCGUGUCUCUUCUCGGCGGUGGUAAUGAUCUCAAGCGGAUACGUUUCAGGUAUGUUACUCUGAUACUCUCUGUACAUGCUUUCAAUCUACGGUAGUGAUUUUUUUGUGUUUGACUCUGUUUUUCUGAUCGUACGGUUGAAAUAUUUUCCCACGUUUGUUUUGAUCGUGAUUUGGGAGAAUGUUCGGAAGAUGCUCUGUUCUUUGGGAGAACUGAAUCUGAUUUUUUAAAAAUAAUUAUUACUAUAAAAUCAGUACAAACACACAAUCUAAAAAUCUAAAUAAAACAAUCAAAGUUUGGUUAAUUCGAUAAUCUGCGUAGAUAAAUAGAUGAAUAUAAUUUGUGGAUUUCUAUGUCUAGGCAACAUAUGUUGUGCUAAAAUACUACUAAAAACAUACGAAUUUAAUAACAAGUAGAAAACUUACCACUUCUUUCUGUUUAGUAUCUCGAAGGGGUAAUUGUGAGUGUGAAAAUAUAACUAAAAAGUGGGUAAAAAAUAGAUACUUGGGACCCAGAGUUGUAGACUGUAACGCUUCAUCACGCCUAAUGAGAAGCAGAGGCCGUAAAGGUCCAAAAAGCAAAACUUGGUGUUCCCUUUUCAGAGUGCUUCUUGGGGUCAUCCCUUCUCAUUCUGUCUUUAUUUCGCUUUUAUUUAUGUUUUCUUUCGAAAUUAGCUAUAUACUCCCUCCGUUUUUUAUUAUAAGUCGUUUUAGAGAAACUUUUUUGUUCCAAAUUAUAUGUCGUUUUCGGUUUUCUAUGUAAAAUUUAUUAAUAAUUAAUGUUGUAUGACCAAUAGUAAUAUAUCUUCUAUUUUUCUAUUGGUUAAAUUGUGGUUAGGUAAAUAAUUAAUGAUGUUUUUGUUUAGAAAAUAUAAGAAAUUAAUGGUUUUCUUAAUCUACGUGCAUAGCUGUAAAACGACUUAUAUUAAAAAACGGAGGGAGUAUAUGAUUACUCCAUUUCCUCUAUUUCUUACUUAUCUUCAAAAUCAAAAUUUUUAGUCCACAGAAAAUAUAGAAAAAGAGAUUUAUCUUAUCGGUCAUAUGAAAUCACUCUAUAUAACGUGUGAAUAAGUAUGCUAAAAACUUUAAUUCUUAAUGCGGUUGUUAGAUGGUACUAAAAAUGUUUCUUUAUUUUUGUUUAAAUCAAAGAUUUAAGAUCUUUGGUUGGUAGAUUAGAUAUUUUAUUCAUUUUCACCAAUAUUUUGGGUUUGUUUUUCGACAAUUUAUAUAUAUAGUUAUAUUUAAAUAGGACACAAACUUUUGCUUUCUUUUUUAAUUCCAGUGCCUUGUUCUCCGCGUCUCUCUCGUCUGUCCUCUAAUCAGUUAUCACAUUAUAAUUGUUGGGCGGCAUAGGAAAAAAUGCUUCGUCUUGUAAUUUCAAAGAACAUAUAUAAAUAAGUAAAAUAAAGCAAAUAGCUUUAGACUUUUGCACAGUUUCUCUCGUUCACAUCUAUGUCGCCUAUUGAAAACGACAACCUCAACGUAUUCUGUCUCUUCUUUGCUUCAACUCUUUGUCUUCUUCCCAUAUAAAACACAGAUCAAGUUCUAUCACCACCUGUCUUUCUUUUGUCUAAACUUGGUCUUCCUUUUUGUUUGUAUGAUUCACAAACAUUGUUUGAUUAGGUUGAGUCCUAUAGGUUCUAAGUGUUUUUACUGUUUGGUUUGGAUCUCGGUACAAGUAUAAGUUAAAGUUGUUGGGAAAUUAAAAAAAGAGACUUGAGAAUUUUCUCAUACCCACCUCCUUCCCCAUUAUUUUCUUUACUGUUAGCCAUAAUCAUCUUAUCUAAUUAUUAGCUUUGACCAUUGCCGUCUCUGUUUCUUUUUAUUUCUUGAUUUCUACAUAAUUUUGAUUGAUUAUUUACUGUUAGCUACCCCAUUAACAGUUGAACAAAAAAAAAAAAAGGGCUACCCAUUAACUAACAUUUUUUAUUAAAAAAAAAUAUUCAAAAGGUUGAAUUUGUAUGAACUUGCAUCUCUUGUUUUCAACUCUCUUUUUAGCCAUAGCCUAUGUGUGUAAUUAGUCAAAAGCUCUAUUGAAUCAGCUAUUGUUAGUUUUUUCAAAUCUCCCUCUAAUCCGCUUUCUUUAAUUCCCACUUUUGUAUACUUGUUCUGAUUAAAGUUAGUAAGUUACUGCUUCUCCUAAUUUUAUUUGACCAUUAAAGUUAACUUAGACUAUCAUGUGUCAUAAAAUUAUGAGAACCAAGUUGUACUAGUAGAGAAACUGAUGUGUUUAUACUCAAGAAUCUAUACCAUUGUUUUUAAAACCGGCCGGAAGCUAAACUGGAUAAUUAUUCAAGUCACGGUUUAAUAUAGUUCGACCAUAUUAAAUAUGGUUCAAAUUUUUUUUAUAAUUAUUAAUUUUUAUUAUGUAAACUUACUUAUAAUUAUAUUAAAUACAAUACAUAAUUAAAAUAUAAAUAUGAUCAAAUCUAAAACAUUGGAAAUAUUAGUUUUUCCAUUUGUUCAUCUGAUUCAUAGGCUUUUGAUAGUUUUAAGAGUUUUCAUCUAGUUCAAUGACUUCAAAACUCAACCCGAUUACGUGACCGGCCGAACCUGGUCCAACCAUCGAAGAGGUUGUGUUUUAAAACACUGUUCCAUACCAAAAUCAACAACUACCAGAAUUUGUUUACCUAAUCUAUGAUUAUCAUUAUCAAAACCACCUCUUCACUUAGGAGUCUAUCUAAUGUUUCAUCUCCUGAUCUUUCACCACGACAAUAGACAAUUUGUAAAUUUGUAAGAUUAAGACAACAUGUUUCCAAAAUGUACUUUAUUUUUCUCACUUCUGUUUUGUUUUGUUCUUGACCAGCCGAGACAUGUUCAACAAGUUACAAGCGCAAAGAUGGUGGGCAGAUAACUAUGACAAAGUGAUGGAACUUUAUAAUGUUCAAAAACUAAGCCGCCAAGCCUUUCCCCUUCCCACGCCUCCUAGAUCCCAAGACGAGGUUAGCUUUUUCACUGAAUCGUAUCUCUCAACAAACCUGUGAUUGUCCACUAACUCAUCUUGAAAUGCUUGUCAGAAGGAGUAUCAUCCAGAGGAUACUCCUACAACACCGCCUUUAAACAAAGAACGGUUGCCUCGCAACAUCCAUCGUCCAGCUGGAUUGGCUGGUUGCUCAUCUUCGGAUUCCCUCGACCACAGUUCAACCCAAAGCCGGCAGUUUAACGACUCUGGAAUACUAAACUCAACUCCUAAACUCUCAAGCCUAAGCGGAGCCAAAACAGAAACAUCUUCCAUAACAAGCUGCUCGUCCAGAGACGCAGACCGGUCAGAAGAGAUGUCUGUAAGCAAUGCGAGUGAUGUUGAUCAGAACGAGUGGGUGGAGCAAGAUGAGCCUGGCGUUUAUAUCACCAUUAAAGUCUUACCAUGUGGGAAAAGAGAGCUUAGAAGAGUCAGAUUCAGGUAACAUAAACAGCUUCCUUACAUUGUUUCAUUCAUUGGUCCUUAGUCAAGAAACUAAAUCACUGAAACUGUGUUUUCUAUUGCAUUGCAGCCGAGAGAUAUUUGGGGAGAUGCAUGCGAGGGUAUGGUGGGAAGAAAACAGGGCAAGGAUACAUGAACAAUACUUGUGAUCAUCUUCUGGUUUAGAUGCAUUAAACCGGUUUUGUGUUUUUUAUUUUUUUCUCAUUCUCGGUAUACUGUUUAUUCCAAGCUGAAGUAAAAAGAGAACCCUUCCGCAAGCACUCCUUGUGCCUCCUAGUCACACAUAUUUUAAAUAUCAACUGCGGAAUAUGUUUAAGGAGGUUUCAUAUUUUUUUUCCUUAACAAAAGAAAAUGCUUAAGCUUGGAAUAUAUAGUGUUGGCUGGUUUGCUCAAUAUAUGUAUCGUUGGUUCUUUUAAGAAAAUUGUACAAUGGUUUGAUACGAAUAAAUAUUUAUUACGUAUUGUACGAACAUGCUCUAUAUGAAUUUCAAAUUAAUAUCAUAAAAUAUUAAUAACUUAAUUUCCAAUAAUAUACGUAAUUUUAUUAUAGUGUUUUUUAAAAACUAUAUAAUAUAAGAUAAAUGAAACAUGACAAUUUCUUAGAAUUUUUAUUUUAGAAAUCUUUAUUAAUCUAAAUACUAUACACAAAAGUAAAUUAAUUGUAGAUUAGAGAAACCAAUGUCAAAAAUAAGUAAAACAUAUCACCCUCUCAAAAUUUAUGUUUAGAAGAAAUUUUACUUUAUUAUAUAAAAUAGCAUUAUUUUCUUUCUAUAGAAAUUAAUUUACAUAUAUUAUAACCAAAAAUAUUAAUUACAUUUUUGGAAAUACACUGCAAGUGCAACCGUUAGGAGACCAUGUACGUAAUGCUGCGAAUCUCUAUUAACUGUAGAUUGAUUUUCUAGUUCUUCUAGGGAAAACUAUCAUAUCUACACAUAUGGAAAUAGAACUUUAUAAUUAAUGAAAAGUAAAAACAUCAUAGCCAUAUAAGUAAAACAAUAUAUACCACAAGAAAAUAAACAAAUAAUUAUACAAUUUUAAUGAUACCAAGAAUAUAGAAAACUUGAUCUCAAUGUGUAUAUACGCACAAACCUAUUGAUAUGCAACAACACACAACCAUAACAAAGAAAAGAAAAGACGCAACAUUCACUAUGGAUUGUCUGAAGAAAACUCUCUUGUUCCUACUCUCAUGCACGGCGAUUCUGCUAAGUAACAACAUAGUCGCAGCUACAAACGUUGGCUUGAACUAUGGCCUUCUCGGAGACAACCUCCCGCCACCUCCCCAGGUUAUCAACCUUUACAAGUCCAUAGGCAUCACCAAAAUCCGAAUCUUCGACCCAAACGUAGAGGUUCUCAACGCCUUACGUGGCCACCAAGAUAUUGGAGUCACCGUAGGCGUCAAGGACCAAGACUUGGCUGCUCUUGCAGCCAGUGAAGAAGCUGUUAAAGGCUGGUUCGCUACCAACAUCGAGCCUUACUUAACCGACGUCAACAUCACGUUCAUUACAGUUGGUAACGAAGUCAUCCCUGGACCGCUCGGAUCUCAAGUGCUUCCCGUCGUGAAGUCCCUCACCAACCUCGUCGAGUCUAGGAGUCUUCAGAUCUCCAUAACCACCGUUGUCUCAAUGGCAAACCUCGGAGAAUCUUACCCACCUUCCUCCGGAACGUUCACGCCCCUAGCGCGUGAACAACUCACCCCGGUUCUGAAGUUUCUGUCUGAAAAAAGUGUACCAAUACUCGUCAACAUGUACCCUUACUUCCCUUACGCAUCAGACCCAGUGAACAUUCAUCUCGACUAUGCAACUUUCAACACUGAGGCCCUCGUGGUCCAAGACGGACCACUAGGAUAUUCGAACAUGUUUGAUGCUAUGUAUGACGCCUUCUUGUGGGCAAUGGAGAAGGAAGGCGUGAAAGAUUUACAGUUAGUGGUGUCCGAGACCGGGUGGCCGUCUGCAGGGAAUGGUGACCUUACCACGCCGCUUAUUGCAUCUACCUAUAACAGAAACUUUGUGAAGCAUAUAGAAAGUGGCAAAGGGACGCCAAAGAGAUCAAACUGUAGCAUUGAUGGGUAUAUAUUCGCUACUUUUAACGAGAAUCUAAAACCAGCUGGGACUGAACAACAUUUUGGUUUGUUUGAACCUACUGAUAUGAAGCCCGUCUACAAGUUGUUUUGAUUUUUUUAGAUUCUUGUUGUUAGACUAUUUAUUUUGUCUAAUUCAUUAUUUAUAACUCUCUGGUAUUUGCAAUAGAGUGGGAUAACCUGCAUCAUUUAUUUAUAAGAUUUCAGUUUUCUUUUGAUAUAAUGAGAUAUUGAAGCCGAACUCAAUUGUGUUUGGAGUUUGCUUUAUGAUGAAAUUUGAAAUUAUAUAUAUAUAUUUUUUAAAAGUGUAUUUAGUGUUACAAGUUUGAUGAUCGAGUAGGUAUGUUUGUUUGACAGAAGUUACAAAAGUAAGAAGUUCUGGAGAGUCUUGUGCUCGUUUAAACCAUGAACAUUUGAUUGAUAUGACAGAAGGCAAAACAUUUGUUUAUCAAUGGAGCUCAUUAUUAUCAGGCUUCCUGGAACAAGCUAAUCAGUCCUUCCUAGGAAGGACUCUCCAGCCAGAGAAUGACGCACAUCAUCUAGGACAACAAGAAUCCUUUUAUUGCAUAGGUUGUCCCUGUGAAGGUUCGGUCUCAUAAUGUACUGAGAACCCUACAUGUCAAACUCUCCUUAGAAUUUUACUAAUUUUUUCAUCAAGCAAAAGGUGAAGUUCUUCAUCAAAGGUUACGAUGAAAUAAGGAGAUCAUAAUCAGUGGAUGUGGCUAAAGACUGCUUUAGAAAGUGCUGUCUUGCCUAGGGGGCUUCUUUCAAAAGCCAAGUCUUAGAUUUUUGUGGUGCAAAGAGGCCAAAUGGUUAGCAUGAAUGGGUUUUUGUUUGCCACAUUCAAUGAGAAUCAGAAGCCAGCAGCUUGGAACCGAACAUAACUUGGGGGUUGGAAACAAUGCUCUAACAGUUGUAAAGUGGGGUAUGAUAAAAAUUUACAGUAGCACACUUUUAAUGGUGUUUGAAGUAAAUUAAUGAGAAAUUGCACUUCAUGUACAAAGAUAACUGCAUAAUUUGCAGAUAUGGAAAAGCCACUUUCUCGCUGAUGUGUCUUUUUAUAAUGGCUGUUGUACCCCUAUGUUGAGCGAAAACACAACCUAUACCAUAUUCAGAACCUCUGUAUCUCUACAUUACACGUGUUUAUUUUUUAUCAAGAGAGAGUUACUUCCUCAUCCACCAAUCGAUACACUCUUUGGUUUUCCUCGAUAAUUUCAUCGCCUAUUGCUACAAAAUUACCUCGUCUUCUCCAUCAUAAUUGAUACACUCUUGAUAUCUCCUCUCUUCUUAUCUUCAAAUUUAUCACCUUCUUUUCUUUUCUAUCGCCGUCACACCAUCAUGUCAACUAACCGUCGCAUCGUCACUCCAUCACACCAUUACCUCUGCUCAAGCUCGCCAUCACACAGUUACCUCACCUCUGCUCAAGCUCACCGUCACGCCGUCACCUCACGUAUGUUACAGCUUCCCGUCACCUCACCCUUGCUACAGCUUGCCUUCAUUUCAGCUAAUGGAGAGGAGGAAGAUCCAUGAUGCUAUAGAGGAGGAAGAAGAACAAGAGGAGAGAGAACAAAUAAAAGGAUGAGAGAGGAUGCCGAAGAAGAAGCGAAGAACAGAGGCUCCCGGAGACACGACGACGGAGACUGGCCAUAGAAGCUGACGGAAGAGUAAACGUCUGUUUACUGAUGACAUCCUGGAUUACUAGUUGCAUGAGUCUCUGUUGAAUCACACACAAAAUAAUCAUUGUUGCGAAUAAUAUAAUAUGUAUGAAUCACAGGUCUUGAAUAUCAUCUUCCUUGUUCAUUACGCGUUUAUGUUUUGAUUUCAUGCAAACAACAAAUGCAAUAUUACAAUUCAAGAUACAAUAUUAGUAAAACAUAAAUAAUUUGGUAUGAGUUAUCCCAAACCAGCUAACAAUAAGCAUAACCAUAUAAAGAAUAUAAAAUAUUUUAAUAGGAAAUCUUAUGUUUAGUCGAAUAUAAUAUAUUAUAUACGGCUAACCAUUUUUUUAACCAUAUAUUGUGAUUUAAUAGAUGGUUAAUUUUAUGUUUAACCGUAAAAGUAAAUUCAGUCAUAUAUUUUGCAGUUUAUUAGAGAGUUAAUUUUAUAUUUAGCCGUACAUGUAAAUCUAUUGCAAUUUGUUUGAGAGUUAAUUUUCUGUUUAGCCGAUCACAAAUUAAUAUUAUGUAUUGUGAUUUGUUAGAGAGUUAAUUUUCUGUUUAGCCGAACAUAUAUUUUUUUUACAUUCACUAGUCCAAACACCAAAUAUAAGACUAUUAAUGUGUUCGUUUUUCGUAGCCGGCUAACUAUAAAAAAAAGACAAAAAAAUAUGUUAACCGGUUAUUUCAUAAAUUACAUCAUUAUUAAAUAGAAAAACAAUUCCAAGAACUGUGAUAACAAUUAAGAAAAAGUACACUACUUCGGUACUUUACCCUUAGCCUGCUCUUGUCUUCUCAACUGAUCCACCAGAGAUGAUACUUGAUGAUGGUAAAGUGGCGGAGGCAGCGGUGGAUGGUGAUGAGACUAGUUCACGCGCCGUCGUACAAAGAGACGAAGAGAAAAAAUUGCUUUUUUAUAUUUCGUAUAUGAUUGGAUAGACGAAACUUUUAAAUCGAAUUGAAAAGAGUUUAUGAUUUACAAAAUUGAGAUUUGGAUUUGCCAAGAAAGAAAAAAGAGACGAUGAUAAUUCUGAAAAAUUACAGAAUAGAAAGAGAAAGAGAAAGAGAGAACGUGAAAGAAGAGACAAAAUAAUGUUUUUAACUUAAUAGAUUUCUCAUUUUUACAUAGAUAUUAAAUAAAAUAUUAAUUUGUUUCUCUUUCUUACCGUAGCAGAGCUAUAGGGGCAACUGUGUAAAUCCAACCAUGAACAGUUUGGGUUUCAGUGUGUUUUUGGCCCAAGUUCCAUAUUUACAAAUUUUAAACUUAUGUCAUAUUUUUUAUGCAAAUCGCUCAGGAAAAUAUAAUUUUUUUAUGUUUUGGCCAGCCACUAGGUAUUUUUACUACUAAAAAUUUCUUGGCAGGAACUACAUAUUUUCUUGAAAUUGAAGAUAUCACUCAAAGCAAAACAUAAUAGGUUCAGUGAAGAGUAAUAUCAACAGAGUAAUCUCUGUUUUGACAACUUUGAGUCAACCAGAAAAAAAAACAAAGAACUUUGAGCAAUAUCAGCAUCUCAUAUGCGCCAACCAAAUGAUUUGCUGGUAAGUUUAGUGACCAUACUUCUGGAACUCCCACUCACUGUUAUCUGUUAGAGCACACAUAUCGAUAUUAGCAAACAGACCAAAACUUCAAACAAGUCAAAAAGAUUACAAACAGAGAAGCACAUACCCAAUGGACAAACUUGACGAGUCUUUAGCCAUCUGCUGAUGCAGUGAAAGUGGAAGGCGUGGUUGCAAACUCCUGCAAGUAUCAACAUUCAUUAAGUCUUUAGUCAGGGGUAAGGCAAGUGUAUUUCGACUCGAGUUGUUCACAUACAUAUAUCAUAUAAUGAUUUUACGAUUCAAGAAAGUGACUCUCGUAAAUCACAUAUAUCUUAAUGAAAACUUCCUAGUCUCUCUAACAAAGGGUUCAAUCUACCUUCCCAGCUCACAAGAUUCAUCUUCAACCGAAUCAAGUCUCAAUUACGAAGCAAAGAUAACAUCAAUCAAAGACGUUGAAGAAACAAGACUUACCCCAAGCAACAGUGCACUCCUCACUCGUAGCACUGGCCUGAUUAGCCUGACAUUCAAUACCUAAUCCACAAACAAGCAACGAGGUUAACCUAAACCAUUCAACGAUACCGUUAUGAAUCGAUCGUUACUACUCUCGGGACUUACACAGAUCCAUGAUGUGGUUUCUGCAGAUAGCGCAAUUAUCAACAACGAUAUCUGCAAUCAAAAAGAAACAUCGAUCAAUACAAACCCUAGCUCACCACAAAACGAAAGAACAUAGACAUCAGAGGAUCGCUCGAGCUUUACCCCAAGCCCAGAGAGCCACGGCGCUCCACUUCUUAACUUCGAAUCUCUUCGCCUUCUUGGUGGAUGACGACGAUGGGGCGACGCUGCUUGAGGAUUCUCCUGCGGGAACCAUGGUGACGUCGGAAUCGAGGGAAGCCAUCGAUUUGAUCUCUCUGAUAACAAAGAGAAUCUGAAGAAGCGUCGGGUAGAAUUGAGAAUCUUGAUGAAGGAGAAGGGACAGACGCUUCGGAUCUAUUAUAAAAAGAGCUGAGAGAAAGGGAAAUAUUUAUUAUUACUUUGGGCUUUAUAAUGGGCUUUGUGAUGUUUCCAUAACCGACUUGCUUUGUUUUUUCAUAUUAUGUCAAUUUAACAUUAAUAAAAUCUAAAUUUUUUCUCCUUUACAAUUAAAAAGAAACGUUUAAAUUUGUUUAUUAAAUUAUGGAAAUAUAAUAACGAACAUGUUUUCUCCAUAUUUAAAUGCAAUAACGCAAGAAAUUAGAAAUGCAAACUGUUUUCUUCUUCAAUUUUUUUUUAAUAUAACUCAAAAUAAUAUACUAUUUAGAACUCUUUGGAAAUUAGCUCUUGUUUUUUGAGUUUUUGAACUUUGGACUUUUUUUCUAUGUAAGAAUACAAUUAUAUCUUAGUGAAAAGCAAAAGCAAAUUUCAAUUAUUUUGAAAUAAAUUUCAGAGCGGAUUAAUUAUUUUUUUAUCAUCUGUAGACACUCUAUAUAUAAUUAUACAAUUUAUAUCAUUUCAACCUUUGUAAAAUUGUUUUUAAUGUUUGUAGUUACAAAUGAGUAAUUAUCAAAAUAAUGCGCAGAAAAGUUUAUUCUUGAAACAUACUUUUCAAUUGUACUAAUUACAUGAAUAUUUCUUAAUAAAUUUCUAACUAUAAUCACUUGUUUUGAUUCUGCAACCUCUUGCAGCUUCAAAUUCUUGAAUCUACCUGUCUAUGUAAUAUGUUUAAAUUAGUCAAAGCUUUUAAAAUGAAAACUGAUUAAACAUAAAACUGGUAAUUAAAAAUACAAUAGUGUUUCUCUAUUUGCUGAAAAUAUACAUCCAAACCUAAACAGAUUUUCAAAAUCGGGAUACAUAGCUAUAUAACCAAGUGGUCUUUUAAGAUUGGAUCUGAGUUUUAAAUUAUUGAAAAUUUGGUCAGAAGUAUAGAAAAAAAUAAACAAAAAGAAAUGUAUAAUGAACACGAGGCUUACUUACAUAGCAAUAAAAUAACAUUUACAAUGAAAUCAAAUUUUAAAAAGACCAAUGGAAUAAAAACACGGAGGAGAGGGAUUUUCUUAUGUACUCCGUCUCCAACGCUCCUCUCCACCAUUUUCUCUUCUUACAAGCUUCCCCAGAGACGACUUUUCCCUGUUUUACCCAAACAUAUCCGGUUAGUUCUACUUCUUCAUCUUCUUUGCUUUCCUGAAUUUGUUUUACCAUUGAUAUUGGGACUUGCUUCGUUCGAUUAGUUUCUGACUAGAUUAACACCAAUCUUACUAUUUUAUUUCUCCUGAUGUUGUUUUGUAAUAAACCUCAAGACAAGUGCUAAGAAAAAAAAAUAUAUUUAGUUGUAUUUGAGGUUCAUGAAUAUCAGAAAACAUAAAACUUUAUUAAUGUACUCUUACCACAUACAUACAAAAUUACAAAUAUUUGUAAUUAUCUAGAUCCAUGUGAGUUCAUGUUAUGCCCUCUAAGGACACCUUACGUGUUGUACAUGCUGGCUAUGUUCCCCUCCUUUGUUUCUCUCUUAAGCUCUUGUGAUUCUCUGAUAAAAAAAACUUCUUUUCUGCAGCUUUUGUGCUUCAUCCUCUGAGUGGUUCUUAGUGCUUUCAAAGUACAUGAUGAGUAAAGUUAACAGUGAGGAAUCUUCUAGUAACCAAAAGUUAUUGAAGGAGGUAGAGACGAUCGGUGAAGCUUUGUAUGUGAACAAGAAUAAUCCUAGGAGGAGCUCAGCAUCUGGUCCUAAUAACAACACUUCAACAAAGCCCUUGGGUCGUACCACCCACUUAGCUGAGCCUCAGAAGGAAAAGAAGUCUUUUUGGAACUGGCCUCUCAGAGCUCUUUCUCAUGUCCGAAACCGACGGUUCAACUGUUGUUUCUUUGCUCAAGUACAUUCCAUAGAAGGCUUACCGCCGAUAUUCCAGGAUCUUUACCUCACUGUUCACUGGAAACGUCGUGAUGAGUCUUUAACCACUCGUCCUGCAAAAGUUUUGAACGGAAGAGCUGAGUUUAAGGACAAGCUGACGCAUACGUGCUCGGUUUACGGAAGCAGAAGCGGACAGCAUCACUCGGCUAAGUAUGAAGCGAAGCAUUUCUUGCUGUAUGCGUCUCUGGUUGGGUCUCCUGAGGUUGAUCUGGGGAAACAUCGGAUGGAUCUUACGAGAUUGCUUCCUCUAACGCUAGAGGAGUUGCAGGAUGAGAAGAGCACUGGGAAGUGGUCGACGACGUUUCAGUUGAGUGGGAAGGGUAGUGGUGCUACUCUGAGCAUGAGUUUUGGGUACACUGUUGUUGGGGAUACUCGCAGUGCUUCAAAUGCAAAGCAAACUAGCAAUAAUAUCACAGGGUUGACGAGGACUACUAGUACAAAGUCUGUAUCUCGGCGUUAUGAUCAUGGUAUUGUUAACAAAGAGUCUCGUCCUCUGUCUGAGAAUGUGGAGGAGAUCAAAGAUCUUCAUGAAGUUCUUCCCGUUGCACAAUCUGACCUGGCCAGUUCUGUGAACAUUCUGUAUCAAAAAUUUGAUGAGGAGAAGGUGGAUCGGGCAGCUGAGUCUCAGAUCGAAUUUGAGGUUGUCACUAAACACAUUGAACCUGUUGAGUCAUUUUCUCAAGAAAAUGAAGAUGCAAAUGAAACUGAGGUUCCUUUAGAGGAUGUUAAGAAGGUUGACGAAGUUCCUACUGCUGGAAGUGAGGAAGUUUUUACAGAAAACUUGCCUCCAGGAGAGCCUUUGGUAAACAGGAAUGAGACUGAUGUUUCUUUUGAAGAAUCAAAGAUAGUUGGUGAAGUUCCUAUUACUAGAAGUGAGGAAGUUGUUGAGAUUGGUACAGAAAGUUUGUCUCCAGAGGAGGGUAGCAAUGUUUCUAUAAAGGAAGAGAACAGUGGGAGAGACGUGAGAGAAAUGAUAAUGAAAGAUCUUGAAUCAGCUUUGAAAAGUGUAGAAAUGUUGGAAGCAACAGCGUCAGACGACGACGAGGAAGAUCAAGAAGACCGUGGAGGCUCAGAAACAUCCUAUAGAACACCAAAUAAGGAAGCAGCAGCAGUAUCAAGUUCGAGAGAUGUGGCAAGCGAGUUCCUAGACAUGCUAGGUAUUGAACACAGCCCUUUUAGUUUGAGUUUUGAGAGCGAACCUGAGUCUCCAAGGGAGCGCUUGUUAAGAGAGUUUGAAAUGGAAACUCUAGCGGCCGGUUCUUUGUUUGAUUUUACUAUUGAAUCUGAUGAAAACUUCUCAGAAGAGAAUGAAUCAGAUUUCGAUCUGGCAUCCCUAGUUCAAGAUAUAGAGGAAGAGUACCAGUUGGAAACUCAAGCAAGAGUCAGCAACCCCAGGGCCAAAACGUUAGAAGACUUGGAAACAGCAUCACUGAUGCGUGAGUGGGGUAUGAAUGAAAACACAUUCCAGAACUCUCCGCCUCACAAUGGUCGUAAUACGUUUCCUCCAGAACAGGAGCCAUUUGAUUUGCCUCCUCUAGGAGAUGGCCUUGGUCCAGUUGUGCAGACAAAGAACGGAGGGUUCUUGCGUUCAAUGAAUCCUUUACUAUUCAGAAACUCUAAAUCCGGAGGGAGCUUGAUCAUGCAAGUGUCAAGUCCAGUGGUGGUGCCUGCUGAGAUGGGCUCUGGUAUCAUGGAGAUACUUGAGAAACUAGCCACUGCUGGAAUUGAGAAGCUCUCAAUGCAGGCAAAUAAAGUAAUGCCUUUGGAUGAUAUAACAGGGAAAACUAUGGAAGAGUUGUUGUGGGAUGCUUCACCUGCAAUUGACGGUGGUAACAGGUUUGAAACCAAUCUUAUCAUCAUUCAUUCUGUUUUGUGAAAAAUGUUUACUUACGUUUUGGACGUAUUUGGUUUACUUCUCAAUGCAGGGAUCAUAUCUCACAGCAUGAAUCUGGUUUUGGGAGUGGAGCAUCAUCUGCAGCUAAUUCAAAAAAGUUUGGUUCAAGCUCUAGCAACAACAACUCUGGCUCGGAGUAUGUAUCACUUGAAGAUCUUGCUCCUUUGGCUAUGGACCAGAUUGAAGCACUUUCUUUAGAAGGGUUGAGAAUACAAUCAGGAAUGUCAGAGGAGGAUGCACCCUCUGAAAUAACUGCACAGUCAAUCGGAGAGAUCUCAGCCUUCCAAGGAAAAAGCGGGUGCGUUGGUCUAGAAGGAGCUGCUGGUUUACAACUUCUUGACAUAAAGGAUGACAGAGAUGACGAUGAUGAUGGGUUAAUGAGUCUCUCAUUGACUCUUGAUGAGUGGAUGAAGCUGGAUUCAGGUGACAUUGGAGACGAAGAUGAAAUAAAUGAGCAAACGUCGAAAAUCUUGGCUGCACAUCAUGCAAACCCACUGAACUUUAUCCGGAAAGGGGAGAAAAGAAAGGGGAAGAGAGGAAGGAGAUGUGGUUUACUUGGGAAUAACUUCACAGUAGCACUAAUGGUUCAACUCCGAGAUCCCUUAAGAAACUAUGAGCCAGUUGGAGCUCCCAUGCUUUCUCUUAUCCAGGUUGAGAGAUUGUUUGUUCCUCCAAAGCCCAUAAUCUAUAGUACAGUUUCAGAGGUGAGGAAAACCGAUGAAGAGGAAAAGGAAACUGAGGUGGUCAAAGAGGAUAAAACCGUUUUGGAGGAACAAGGAAUCCCUCAGUAUAAAAUCUCAGAGGUGCAUGUUACUGGUAUGAAGAGUGAGACUGAUAAAAAGCCAUGUGGAGUCAAGAGUCAGCAUCAGCAGGUGCAGUCUGGUUCAAGGUGGUUGAUGGCUAACGGAAUGGGGAAAGGGAACAACAAGCUUCCUCUUAUGAAACCAAAACCGGGUUCUAUAAAGUCUGGUGAUAAGUUGUGGAGUGUGUCUGGUUCUGGUUCUAAAUGGAAAGAGCUUGGGAAAGUGGGGAAGUGGAACACACACGUGCGGAAUCCGAAUGUGAUCAUGCCAAAAUGAAACAAGAACUAGUGUCUGGUUUCUGGUUUUCUUUUUAUGCUAUGUAAAGUUAAUGUUAUGUGGUGUGUUGAAUUGCUAGAUUCAUUUCAGUGUUGCACCUGUGUUUAUUUAUGUGUGUGUUAGUUUAGGUUUUGCGGAUCAAACUAAUCACUGUUUUGUGGUACAGUUAAGAGAUCAAUGGAACGAACAAGAGCCUUUGAACUUGGUGCAGUGCUUAUUAUAUGAUAGUGAGGCAUCUUAGACGUGUCUGCAAUGCAAUGCUUAUUACUUAAUUAAAAUUUAAGCCAUAGAGACAAGAAAAUGAAACACUUGGAACAAUUACACACAAUAAAAUGCUAAACGAACUUGAAUAAAAAGCACAUAAACUCACACACAAAAACUUAAAAAAAAAUGAAAUAUAAGCUUAAUCAGUUCCUCCAAGCACACCCUUAAGUUUCUUAACUUGUUCAUCACUAAGGAAGGUGGUGGCUUCAACGAGCUCUGAAGGCAAAUCAUUAGCAAACAAAGCAAACGGUAGAAUCUGGAGGCCUGGGGAGGAGCUUCCAAAGGCAACAAAGGCCAAGGCAGGGCCUUUCCCAGAGUUAAGCUGAAAAUGAAGAAGCCCUUGAGGAAACACCAUAGAAUCACCUCUCUGGAGAGUCUUCAAGUAAACUUUGUUAGCAGAGGAAAUAAACCCGGCGCAGAUGGUUCCUUGUAUGACUACAAGAACCUCAGACGCACCAGGAUGUGUGUGAAGAGGAAUGACACCACCACCGGCUAAGUCAAGACGAGCCAUUGAGACUCCAAGACCAUUGGUGCCUGCGAAAGCAGGGGCAAAGGCUGGCGUCACUGCGGCUUUAAUGAGGUUCGAAGUGUUUCCAGCUUUGGCGAGGCCGGAGAAUGCAAAGUCAUUUUAAUAAACCUCAAGACAAGUGCUAAGAAAAAAAAAUAUAUUUAGUUGUAUUUGAGGUUCAUGAAUAUCAGAAAACAUAAAACUUUAUUAAUGUACUCUUACCACAUACAUACAAAAUUACAAAUAUUUGUAAUUAUCUAGAUCCAUGUGAGUUCAUGUUAUGCCCUCUAAGGACACCUUACGUGUUGUACAUGCUGGCUAUGUUCCCCUCCUUUGUUUCUCUCUUAAGCUCUUGUGAUUCUCUGAUAAAAAAAACUUCUUUUCUGCAGCUUUUGUGCUUCAUCCUCUGAGUGGUUCUUAGUGCUUUCAAAGUACAUGAUGAGUAAAGUUAACAGUGAGGAAUCUUCUAGUAACCAAAAGUUAUUGAAGGAGGUAGAGACGAUCGGUGAAGCUUUGUAUGUGAACAAGAAUAAUCCUAGGAGGAGCUCAGCAUCUGGUCCUAAUAACAACACUUCAACAAAGCCCUUGGGUCGUACCACCCACUUAGCUGAGCCUCAGAAGGAAAAGAAGUCUUUUUGGAACUGGCCUCUCAGAGCUCUUUCUCAUGUCCGAAACCGACGGUUCAACUGUUGUUUCUUUGCUCAAGUACAUUCCAUAGAAGGCUUACCGCCGAUAUUCCAGGAUCUUUACCUCACUGUUCACUGGAAACGUCGUGAUGAGUCUUUAACCACUCGUCCUGCAAAAGUUUUGAACGGAAGAGCUGAGUUUAAGGACAAGCUGACGCAUACGUGCUCGGUUUACGGAAGCAGAAGCGGACAGCAUCACUCGGCUAAGUAUGAAGCGAAGCAUUUCUUGCUGUAUGCGUCUCUGGUUGGGUCUCCUGAGGUUGAUCUGGGGAAACAUCGGAUGGAUCUUACGAGAUUGCUUCCUCUAACGCUAGAGGAGUUGCAGGAUGAGAAGAGCACUGGGAAGUGGUCGACGACGUUUCAGUUGAGUGGGAAGGGUAGUGGUGCUACUCUGAGCAUGAGUUUUGGGUACACUGUUGUUGGGGAUACUCGCAGUGCUUCAAAUGCAAAGCAAACUAGCAAUAAUAUCACAGGGUUGACGAGGACUACUAGUACAAAGUCUGUAUCUCGGCGUUAUGAUCAUGGUAUUGUUAACAAAGAGUCUCGUCCUCUGUCUGAGAAUGUGGAGGAGAUCAAAGAUCUUCAUGAAGUUCUUCCCGUUGCACAAUCUGACCUGGCCAGUUCUGUGAACAUUCUGUAUCAAAAAUUUGAUGAGGAGAAGGUGGAUCGGGCAGCUGAGUCUCAGAUCGAAUUUGAGGUUGUCACUAAACACAUUGAACCUGUUGAGUCAUUUUCUCAAGAAAAUGAAGAUGCAAAUGAAACUGAGGUUCCUUUAGAGGAUGUUAAGAAGGUUGACGAAGUUCCUACUGCUGGAAGUGAGGAAGUUUUUACAGAAAACUUGCCUCCAGGAGAGCCUUUGGUAAACAGGAAUGAGACUGAUGUUUCUUUUGAAGAAUCAAAGAUAGUUGGUGAAGUUCCUAUUACUAGAAGUGAGGAAGUUGUUGAGAUUGGUACAGAAAGUUUGUCUCCAGAGGAGGGUAGCAAUGUUUCUAUAAAGGAAGAGAACAGUGGGAGAGACGUGAGAGAAAUGAUAAUGAAAGAUCUUGAAUCAGCUUUGAAAAGUGUAGAAAUGUUGGAAGCAACAGCGUCAGACGACGACGAGGAAGAUCAAGAAGACCGUGGAGGCUCAGAAACAUCCUAUAGAACACCAAAUAAGGAAGCAGCAGCAGUAUCAAGUUCGAGAGAUGUGGCAAGCGAGUUCCUAGACAUGCUAGGUAUUGAACACAGCCCUUUUAGUUUGAGUUUUGAGAGCGAACCUGAGUCUCCAAGGGAGCGCUUGUUAAGAGAGUUUGAAAUGGAAACUCUAGCGGCCGGUUCUUUGUUUGAUUUUACUAUUGAAUCUGAUGAAAACUUCUCAGAAGAGAAUGAAUCAGAUUUCGAUCUGGCAUCCCUAGUUCAAGAUAUAGAGGAAGAGUACCAGUUGGAAACUCAAGCAAGAGUCAGCAACCCCAGGGCCAAAACGUUAGAAGACUUGGAAACAGCAUCACUGAUGCGUGAGUGGGGUAUGAAUGAAAACACAUUCCAGAACUCUCCGCCUCACAAUGGUCGUAAUACGUUUCCUCCAGAACAGGAGCCAUUUGAUUUGCCUCCUCUAGGAGAUGGCCUUGGUCCAGUUGUGCAGACAAAGAACGGAGGGUUCUUGCGUUCAAUGAAUCCUUUACUAUUCAGAAACUCUAAAUCCGGAGGGAGCUUGAUCAUGCAAGUGUCAAGUCCAGUGGUGGUGCCUGCUGAGAUGGGCUCUGGUAUCAUGGAGAUACUUGAGAAACUAGCCACUGCUGGAAUUGAGAAGCUCUCAAUGCAGGCAAAUAAAGUAAUGCCUUUGGAUGAUAUAACAGGGAAAACUAUGGAAGAGUUGUUGUGGGAUGCUUCACCUGCAAUUGACGGUGGUAACAGGUUUGAAACCAAUCUUAUCAUCAUUCAUUCUGUUUUGUGAAAAAUGUUUACUUACGUUUUGGACGUAUUUGGUUUACUUCUCAAUGCAGGGAUCAUAUCUCACAGCAUGAAUCUGGUUUUGGGAGUGGAGCAUCAUCUGCAGCUAAUUCAAAAAAGUUUGGUUCAAGCUCUAGCAACAACAACUCUGGCUCGGAGUAUGUAUCACUUGAAGAUCUUGCUCCUUUGGCUAUGGACCAGAUUGAAGCACUUUCUUUAGAAGGGUUGAGAAUACAAUCAGGAAUGUCAGAGGAGGAUGCACCCUCUGAAAUAACUGCACAGUCAAUCGGAGAGAUCUCAGCCUUCCAAGGAAAAAGCGGGUGCGUUGGUCUAGAAGGAGCUGCUGGUUUACAACUUCUUGACAUAAAGGAUGACAGAGAUGACGAUGAUGAUGGGUUAAUGAGUCUCUCAUUGACUCUUGAUGAGUGGAUGAAGCUGGAUUCAGGUGACAUUGGAGACGAAGAUGAAAUAAAUGAGCAAACGUCGAAAAUCUUGGCUGCACAUCAUGCAAACCCACUGAACUUUAUCCGGAAAGGGGAGAAAAGAAAGGGGAAGAGAGGAAGGAGAUGUGGUUUACUUGGGAAUAACUUCACAGUAGCACUAAUGGUUCAACUCCGAGAUCCCUUAAGAAACUAUGAGCCAGUUGGAGCUCCCAUGCUUUCUCUUAUCCAGGUUGAGAGAUUGUUUGUUCCUCCAAAGCCCAUAAUCUAUAGUACAGUUUCAGAGGUGAGGAAAACCGAUGAAGAGGAAAAGGAAACUGAGGUGGUCAAAGAGGAUAAAACCGUUUUGGAGGAACAAGGAAUCCCUCAGUAUAAAAUCUCAGAGGUGCAUGUUACUGGUAUGAAGAGUGAGACUGAUAAAAAGCCAUGUGGAGUCAAGAGUCAGCAUCAGCAGGUGCAGUCUGGUUCAAGGUGGUUGAUGGCUAACGGAAUGGGGAAAGGGAACAACAAGCUUCCUCUUAUGAAACCAAAACCGGGUUCUAUAAAGUCUGGUGAUAAGUUGUGGAGUGUGUCUGGUUCUGGUUCUAAAUGGAAAGAGCUUGGGAAAGUGGGGAAGUGGAACACACACGUGCGGAAUCCGAAUGUGAUCAUGCCAAAAUGAAACAAGAACUAGUGUCUGGUUUCUGGUUUUCUUUUUAUGCUAUGUAAAGUUAAUGUUAUGUGGUGUGUUGAAUUGCUAGAUUCAUUUCAGUGUUGCACCUGUGUUUAUUUAUGUGUGUGUUAGUUUAGGUUUUGCGGAUCAAACUAAUCACUGUUUUGUGGUACAGUUAAGAGAUCAAUGGAACGAACAAGAGCCUUUGAACUUGGUGCAGUGCUUAUUAUAUGAUAGUGAGGCAUCUUAGACGUGUCUGCAAUGCAAUGCUUAUUACUUAAUUAAAAUUUAAGCCAUAGAGACAAGAAAAUGAAACACUUGGAACAAUUACACACAAUAAAAUGCUAAACGAACUUGAAUAAAAAGCACAUAAACUCACACACAAAAACUUAAAAAAAAAUGAAAUAUAAGCUUAAUCAGUUCCUCCAAGCACACCCUUAAGUUUCUUAACUUGUUCAUCACUAAGGAAGGUGGUGGCUUCAACGAGCUCUGAAGGCAAAUCAUUAGCAAACAAAGCAAACGGUAGAAUCUGGAGGCCUGGGGAGGAGCUUCCAAAGGCAACAAAGGCCAAGGCAGGGCCUUUCCCAGAGUUAAGCUGAAAAUGAAGAAGCCCUUGAGGAAACACCAUAGAAUCACCUCUCUGGAGAGUCUUCAAGUAAACUUUGUUAGCAGAGGAAAUAAACCCGGCGCAGAUGGUUCCUUGUAUGACUACAAGAACCUCAGACGCACCAGGAUGUGUGUGAAGAGGAAUGACACCACCACCGGCUAAGUCAAGACGAGCCAUUGAGACUCCAAGACCAUUGGUGCCUGCGAAAGCAGGGGCAAAGGCUGGCGUCACUGCGGCUUUAAUGAGGUUCGAAGUGUUUCCAGCUUUGGCGAGGCCGGAGAAUGCAAAGUCAUUUUCGGUGACUUGGUCAGGGUUCUUGCAAGAGUAUCCUGAUGGGCUUUGAGGACCCUUUGGAUCAGCUACACAGAAGUCUUGAACAGAGGCAAAAGAGGUUGAUGAAACUAGGGAGAGGAUGAAAAAAAUGUGAAUUAUCAUCUUCAUUUUCUUAUAGAUUAGUUAUACAAGAGUCUUGAAGUUAUGAGGAGAGAAAGAUAGGGGCGCCUAGUUUAUAUAGAGACCUAUAAGAUAUUGAUAUGGUUAACGUGAGGAUAGUCUUGAAGCAAGCGAGAGGGACCUUGUUUUUUGUUAGCAUUGCAUGCAUGUGAACUUUGGGUGUACGUACGCGGAGAAAAGCCCACAUGGCUGUCACAGGUUUUUGUCGGUUUGGAGAAUGGUGAUAAAUGGUUCGUUUUCAAUUAACUUAGCUUCUUAAGACAGUUUUGUUGAACUAAAUUUGAACUGCAGAAUAGUAUAAGUAAACACAUGUUUCAAGCAAAGUUUAGUAAAUCUAACUGCAGGGGCGUCUUUUCUAGUAUGCAAAUACAAAUAUGAUAGAUAUGUCAUACUAAAAGCAAAUUUAAAAUACUAAAAAUGAUUUUAUUCAUGCCAAAUGCUUUUAUCAUAAAUCUUAAAGUACCACUUAUUGGAGUGUAAACCAUCAUUGACUGAUAGAGUUAAAUUUCAAGAAUUGCUUGUGGACUCAAUCACUUGGUUCCACAUUAGCUUCUUAGUAUGAAACUAAAACUAAUAUAUAGUUUAGUUUCAUAAUACUUUUAAGAUAAAGAAAAUAAAUUCAAAUACUCUCAAGGUUUUGAUUCUGAUUAUCGUACAACGUAGUAAAAAUUCGAAGCUUGAAGGGUAAAAACUGUGAGAAGCUCCCAACGGUCUUUUACAAAAUCAAAAUAUCUUGGAGGAGUCGCUUUUUAUAAGAUAUUUUUGUAAAGAAGAUAUGGAAAAGUUGAAAGGAAUGGUUGAUGGAGAAGAAGAGAGAUCAGUGUAUGUGGUCCAGUUUUAAGUAGAGAGCAAACAUGUCUCCUCCUUCCCUAAUUUGGACUCCUCUGCACAGUAUCUUAUCCUCCUGUCUCAUCAUCUUUUAAGUUUGUGUGGCUCUUCAACGUUCCCUCUUACUCAGGGCGUUUACUAUAUCUUCCUCUCUUUUGAUUGAUCUUUAGAUUUUAAACCAUUUUCUUUUUUAUUUGAUGCAUAGUAUUUGUAUAAAUGUUGCUAAUGUGUUGUAACUCGGAUUUGAAUCCGGUAGCGAAAGACCAAGGUUUCUAGACCACCAGUUCAUGUAUACUAUUGCAAUGUCCAUACUAUUGCAGCUGCUGGUAUAACUUAUACUCCGGAUAUAUAUAUAAUGUGUGUCAUAAUAGCUGGGUAAGAAUAAUUAUUACACAAUUUCCUAUAACACACCGACAGUACACAUUAGGCCACCUAUCUCCGCUCUCUCGUAUAUGGGAUUCAUCCCGUUCCAACGGUCGGUGCAUAAAUUUUUCAAGGAUCGAAAGUCUUGUUUACUGACCCUGCAAUCACCACCUGAUAUUUUUCAGUGCUUUGGCCUCACUCAUAUAUGGUAUCGCGAAUCACUUCCCGAUAGGUCACCCAUUCUUCCGCUGCUCCAGCUUAAACACGCUUAACUCUAAAGUUCUAAACAGCUCAAAUGGUCUCUUACAAAGUCUAUUGGUCUUAUUCAGAAAAUUGAAACCUUUUUUAUUGGAUGAUCAUAAUACCGAUAUGUAACGGAAAAGGUAAGUCAAUUUUGGUGACAUAAGUAGCCAAAUCAAUCAUCUUAAACCUUUUCAUAUUUCACAACUCGGGAUGUUACAUUUUCUUUUACUCAAAUGGUAUUUGGUCAAAACUUGGCUCAUGCAUGGGGGCUUCUUGAAUUUGGUUAAAACUUAGUUCAUGCAUGGGCUUCUUCAAUUUUGUAAAAACUUAGUUCAUGCAUGGGCUUAUUAUAAGCAUUUGGUACAAUAGAGUUGAACUCUGCUUAGUUUUGUUCACAUAAAACCUGGGCCUUACUAUCGUUGGUAAAUUAAUCACAAUAAGACCAAAUAUCUAGUUGCCCACAAAAAAAAAGACCAAAUAUCCCCACAAAGAAUACAUGCAUAUGUGAACAAAAACAAACUAACGGUAUAUUAGAGCUAAUCAAAUAUUUGAAGUAUAUAAAAGAGAUCGAUCUGUAGACCUUUUUUUACUAGGAAAAUAAUAAUAGCAAGAACAUGAAUGAAAUAAACAUCGAGGACAACAAGCAAAGAGUGUCGGUUAAUCUUAAGGUGCAGAUCAAUAAAACGAAAGAGAAGGUUCAUUAGUUCCUCCAAGCACACCCUUAAGCCUCUUAACCUCUUCAUGGCUAAGGAAGUUCGUGGCUUCAACGAGUUCUGAAGGCAAAUCACUUGCAAACAACGCAUUGGGUACAAGCUGGACGCCAGGGUUGGAGCUUCCGAAGGCAGCAAAGGCCAUGGCAGGGCCUGUCCCACCGUUAAGCGCAAAAUGAAGAAGCCCUUGAGGAAACACUAUAACCUCACCUUUCUGGAGAGUCUUCAAGUAAACUUUAUUAGCAGAUGAAAUAAUCCCUGCGCGGAUGGUUCCUUCUAUGACGAUAAGAACCUCAGACGCACCGGAAUGAAUGUGAAUAGGAACAACACCACCCUCGGCUAAGUCAAGACGAGCCACUGAGACUCCAAGACCAUUGACGCCAGCGAAAGCAGGGGCAAAGCCUGUAGCCACUGCGGCUUUAAUCAUGUUUGAAGUGUUUCCAGCUUUGGCGAUGCCUGAGAAUGCGAAGUCAUCUGCUGUGACCUGGUCAGGGUUCUUGCAAGAGUAUCCUGAUGGGCUUUGAGGACCGCUCGGAUCAGCUAUACAAAAGUCUUGAACUGAGGCAGAAGAGAUGGAUGAAACUAGGGAGAGGAUCAUGAAGAAAAUGCGGAUAAUCAUUUUCAUUUUCUAAGAAGUUAAUUUAUACAAGAGAACUGAAGUUACGAGGGAGAAGGAUCUAGUUUAUAUAGAGAUGCAUAUGGUUAACGCUAGUAUUGUCUAGAAGCAAGCGAGAUGGAAUUUUUUUAAUGCAUAUGAGCAAACCCCUUCCCUGAAUGGUAGAGCACAAUUUUAGACCAGCAACUAAUAAAAAAGUUCUGGGGCCACAUGUCUAAAACGUGUUUUGGUCAAAUUGCUUGAUUUCUUUAGUUCGAUCCUUGUGGAAGAGAGGAUUUUAAAGUGACUUUCCGUUUUGAUUUAUUUAUUUAUUUUAUUCAUUCUAUUUUCUCCUCACCUUUUUAAUAAUGUAUAACCAAAUAAUUUUAUGCUCUUCUUUUACUCCUUUUUUUUUCUAAUUUUAGUUUGACUAAUAGUUUUGAAUAUGUAAUUUAAAAUUUCGAAAUCAUUUUUUUCAGAAAAAACACCAGUAUAUUAUUAGAUUAUAAUUAAUAAAAAUCUAAAAAAACAAAGUAAAAAUUAACAUAUUUUCAAAAUAGUUCAUGUUUUAAAACUUUGAAACCAAAAUUUUUAGCAUAUCCAAACUACUAUAUUUACAAAAUAUUAAAAUAAUUUUUUUUUGGGAUGAUCAUAUUAAAUAUUAUUUUAAUUUGAAUAUUAAUAUAAUUAGAUUAUAUAAUAUAUACCGUUAAAUAUUUUAAUAUAGGAUCACAUUUUAAAAAUGUGUUUUAAUUAAGCCACUAAAAUUUUAGGACGGCAUGUCAACUUUGGGUGUACUGGAAAAAGCCACAUGAAAGUGAUGGGAUCAAAAGACAAAACAACGGCAACAUAAAGAAUGCAGAAACUUUGUCAGUGGAGAAUGUUGAUAAAUGGUUCGUUUUUAAUAAACUAUAAUUUUCUAAGAGUUUUUUUAAAGGCUUUCAUAUUGAGAAAUAAACAGGUACAUAGGAUAACAAGAAUGCAGGAAAAAAAACAGAGCAUUACAGAGAAGAUAUAACAACUAAAAGCAAGAAAAGAAAGGAGAGAUGGCCACAACUGAAACAUUCAGAGUGAAGAUGAAGGAAAAUAAUCAUGAGCACAUGGAAAAGCAAAACACAACGAAGGAAGGGAGCACUGGAGGGAAAACCACACUGACCAAAGCUCAAGUAAAGUGUCGCCCAUGGAAGAGCCAACGUUGGACAAAGCCAAAGACUUAUGUUUUAACUUUUUCAAACUCAAACCAGCAACUGCCAGAUGAAGAGAAAGACCCCGGUGGAACCUCUCAUUUCUUUCAUGCCAGACGAAGUAAUACAUCCAUUACGCAACUGCAACAAAGCAGAGAAGACCACUUUAUUAGGAGUAGCAUUGUUCUACCAAAUUUACAAGUCAUCCCAAUGGCAUGGGACAUUUUGGAAACCAAGUUUUUCAGCCAAGCGAACCCAGAUAAAGCUAGAGAAAGGACAAUUAAAUAAAUUAAGAUGAUCUCUUGAUUCCGGAUGUAAACCACAGAGAAGACAAAUUAUCUCUCCAUCCCAACCCCACGGAGGUGUUAAACCACAGAGGUCUUAGGCCACCUCAUUAAGAUAGAUACAAAAAGUUUGGCCCAAACUUUUGAAAAUGAUGUGUUAUUAGAUAAAACCACUCUUCUUCUGUUUUUGCAUUUUGUUUCACUGUAAAUUUUCCUUUUGACUUUUAAAUUUAUUCUUUUAGUUUUGAUAUAGUUCUAUAAAUAUAAGGGCCAUAUUUCUUACAAGUUCUAGGCCCCUCUUAAAUGUCUAGGAUAACACUGUGCAUAUCAUUUGUAUAAAUGUUGAUGUUGUGCUGAAACUUGGAUUUGAAUCCGUUAGUGAAAGGCCGCGGUUUAUAGACUGCCAGUUCAUAUAUAUAUUAUUGCAUGCUGCCAAAAGAAGUUCAUACUUCAUUCUAUUGCAGCCGCUGGUUAUAAUCUAAGUAGCACGGAAGCUUAACUAGAUAUUUACUUCUGUUUUAAAAUCUUUGAUUCUGUUUUAAAAAUUCAAAUGUCAUUAAAUAAAUAAAAACUAAAAAAAUUAUAUUAUAUUUUUAAUUUUAUAUAAAAUUUGAAAAUAAUAGUAUUUAUAUAAAAAUAAAAGAAUAUGUAUGUAUCAGCAGCAAGAUAUAUUUUUGUGCAUAAUAGUGCAUUGUGUGUUUCUGAGAGAUUAAAUAACUAUCAUUAAUUGGAUAAUAUUUCUCUUAAAAUUUUAAUUUGUUAGUAUUUUCACAACAUACAUAACAUACAGUAAUAUGAAUUCAGUUGACUUGAUAUAAAUUAUUAAAAUGAAUAAGCGAUUCCUAUUAAUUUGAAUAGUAUAAUUUAGUUCUGAUUUUUAUAAAAUUGUUAUUAUCUAUAAAUAUUUGUAUAUAUACUUUUAACACGUAUUUAUAUCUUAAAUUUUUUAGAAAUCUUGUUUUUGUGUGUUUUUUACGAUUUAGCUUCUGCGUUCUCGAUUCCGACUCAAGGCAAAAAUCUGAUACGGCGUGCUAUGUGUAUAAUAGCAGCGUAUGAAUACUUGUUACACAAUUCUCUUUUACGCAAUUGGUAUUUGGUCAAAACUUGGUUCAUGCAUGGGGUUCUUGAAUUUGAUAAAAAUUUAGAACACCUUUAACGGUAGCUUAAAAAAAUAUUUAAAAAUAAGCGGGUCUCACCUUAUAAUCAAGAACUGCCUCUUCUGCAAAAGGCGACUUUAGUUUUGUUUGUGUAUUAUUCGCGGACUCCAUUGACACGUGGUGGUCUGCGAUUGGUCCGUUUUUAUUUUUUUAGAAGAAAAAAAAUCGGACCAAAAAAAAAAAACUAAGAACCCACGCCCUCUCCCCUAGCGUUAAUCAUGCUCUUAGUUCAUGCAUGGGCUAAAACGAAAUUUUGGCCUUACGCGCGUUGGUAAGUUAAUCAGAAUAAGACCAAAUAUGCCCACAAAGAAAUGCAUGCAUAUGUGAACAGAAACAAACUAACGGUAUAUCAGAGGUAUACCACUAAGCGUAUUAUUUGUAGGUUUUAUAAUAAUCAAAUAUUUGAAGUAUAUAAAGAGAUUGAUCUGUAGACAUUUUUUUUGCAAAAACAUGAAUGAGAAAAACAUCGAGGACAACAAGCAAAGAGUGUCAGUUAAUAUUAAGGUGCAGAUCAAACUAAUCUCUGUUUGUGGUCCAGUUAAGAGAUCAAUGGAACCAACAAGAACCUGUGAACUUGGUGCAAUGCUCAUUAAUUAUUUGAUAACUGCGAGGCAUCUUAGACCUCUACAGUGCUUAUUAUUUGAUAGGUGCCGAGGCAUCUUAGACGUUUGCAAUGCAAUGCUUAUUAUUUCAUACAAUUCAAGAGAAGCUUAGUUACUUCCUCCAAACACACGCUUAAGUCUCCUAAUCUCUUCACGGCUAAGGAAAGUCGUGGCUUCAACGAGUUCUGAAGGCAAAUCACUUGCAAACAGAGCACUGGGUACAAGCUGUACGCCGGGGUUGGAGCUUCCGAGCGCAGCAAAGGCCAAGGCAGGGCCUGUCCCAUUGUUAAGCGCAAAGUGAAGAAGUCCUUGAGGAAACACAAUAACCUCGCCUUUCUGGAGAGUUUUCAAGUAAACUUUGUUAUCAGAGGAAAUAAAUCCUCCGCGGAUGGUUCCUUCUAUAACUAUAAGAACCUCAGACGCACCACGAUGAAUGUGAAGAGGGACUACACCACCAGCGGCUAAGUCAAGACGAACCACAGAGAUUCCGAGGCCAUUGACGCCUGAGAAAGCAGGGGCAAAGGCUGUAGUCACUGCGGCUUUAAUCAUGUUAGAAGUGUUUCCCGCUUUGGCAAGACCGGAGAAUGCGAAGUCGUUCGCGGUGACCUGGUCAGGGUUCUUGCAAGAAAAUCCUGAUGGGCCUUGAGGACCGCUCGGAUCAGCUACACAAAAGUCUUGAACUGAAGCAAAAGAGAUGGACGAAACUAGGGAGAGGAUGAAGAAAAUGUUGAUUAUCAUCAUCUU